AAUUUGUUAGGUAUUUUCACUUGAGAAUAGAGGAGCAUUUUGGUAAUAGAUGGUCAAUUAUGUUAAAGUUGAUUUAAAGUAUUUGAAGUCUAUAGAAUUGAAGUUUCAUAAUUUUUUGGGAUAUUUGGGUUCCACAACGUCGUAAAAACCUUGUGAAGUGACUCUUUAUUUCUUGUUUCUCUAUUUAUAUGUAGUUUUUUUCAUGUAAACUUAUAAUUCAUGUAAACUUCAAUUGCAGCAAUUGCAAGGAAACUGUUACAGUGGAAAUCAACACUUGCAAAGGAAGCUGAUGAAUCUGGAUGCACACCCCUUCACUAUUUAGCCCAAACUUCUAAAAGUUACAUGGUGUGUGAGCUUUUGAAACAUGACACUUCUUCAGCUUACGUCCCAGACGCUAAUGGAUUAUGCCCUGUACAUGUUGCUUCAAGCUGGGGGAGAAGUGAUAUAGUUCGUGAACUUAUUGGCCGUUGCCCCGAUAUGGACGAGUUAGUUGAUAAUGAAGGAAGGAAUUUUCUCCAUGUUGCUGUAGUACACAAUAGAGCAGAGAUAGUUAACUUCGUUUGCCAGAGACCAUUGCUCGUGAAAAUGAUGAAUGCAGAGGACAGCAAUGGAAAUACACCGCUACAUCUUGCUGUGGCAUCCGAGAACCAUCGUAUAAUGAGUCUUCUAUUGGAAAACAAAAGUGUGCACCCAAGAAUUAUAAACAAGAAUGGUCAAACACCUCUAGGUCAUGAAAGAAGAUGGCAUCCAAAAUCACCCCCGCCGCCAAAUCCAUCACCGCCACUGCCACCGCCAUCGCCAGCGCCAGCAUCACGGCCGCCGCCGCCCCCGCCGCCGCGGGCGUCGUCAGCGUCGUCGUGGGAGUCGCUGCCGUCGUUGUCGCCGCCGCGGCCGGAGCCGCCGAAGCGGCGGAGGCUUCUACCGAUUGUAAGACAAUAUCCCUUCCCUACAGUCUUUAAUUUUCAACUAGUAUUCCAAUGGUUUAACUUAGAAUUCAUUGCUUACUAAUCCUNGAAAGAAGAUGGCAUCCAAAAUCACCCCCGCCGCCAAAUCCAUCACCGCCACUGCCACCGCCAUCGCCAGCGCCAGCAUCACGGCCGCCGCCGCCGCCGCCGAAGCCGGGGCCGGAGCCGCCGAAGCCGGCGCCGCCGCCGCCGCCGAAGCCGGAGCGGCCGCCGGCGCCGCGGCCGCGGCCGCUUCUACCGAUUGUAAGACAAUAUCCCUUCCCUACAGUCUUUAAUUUUCAACUAGUAUUCCAAUGGUUUAACUUAGAAUUCAUUGCUUACUAAUCCUUAAAAUCUACUUGGACUAGCAGCUUGUUGCGCUUAAAUUAUCAGCCCAAAAUAUUUUUGCACCCAAAUUGUUAGUAGUAGAGUACUUAAUACUUUGAUAGUCAAUGUUAAUUCCUUUCCAAUCCACUACAGGAUUUUUCUAGUGUCAUGAACUUAGACUUGAAUUUUUCAUCAAAUUAAGGGUUUGAUAAUGUUAUUCGGGGUGGGGGUGCUUGAGAUUGAAUUAAUCUAUAUGGCUAGUUUAAUAGUAUUUAGAGAUCGGCUGACAUCAUAAGGGUACAUUUGGUUUACGCUACCUUUUUAAAAUUUAUAGUAAUUCAAUAUUAAUAAAAAAAUAUGACGAUAUUUGACUAAACGCAUUAAGUAACCUAGUUGGUAAUAUUAAAUUUAUUUGGGAAUGAGAUUCCCAAAAUAUUAAUUUUAUUCUCUUGAAGGAGGGUGGAUAUUAUCAUAUUAAUAGAUUGGGGUAAUCAUAAUAUGUCUAAUAUCUUUCUUUCUUCCUACCCGCCGGCUAGUUGGUAUUAUUUUUUUUUAUACUCUAACCUCAUAUCUCUCUCUAAAUUUAUCUUUUUUUCUAAAUUUAUCUUUUUUUCUCUCUGAACAAAGCUCUCUCUCCCCCUCUUUUUCUAAAAUCUCAACUCUCUCAUUCCCUCUAAUAUCGACUCUAUUUCUCUUCCUACUUCUUUAAUUAUGUUCUCUCUCUAAUCUAUGUUCUCUCUCCCUGUUUUCUAAAAAGAUGUUAAAAUUUUUAGUAGCAUUAUCUAAAAUUAAUUAAAUAAAUAAAUUAAUUAAUUGUAUAUUUUUUGUAAACUUAAAUAACAUGACUAAAUAAUAUGACUGUACAAAUCAAACACAGAAAUGCCACAUUCUUAGUAAUAAGAUGAAUAGGAAUAGAAUUCUCGGACAUCUUUUUAUUCCUAGUAAUCUUUUAUAGUGCGUCACACGCGCCUUUGGACGAGGAGUUCCUGCGAGCCGACCGCUCUUCUCUACCAGCAUUGCCGAUGGUGCUCCAGAUUGGGUCUUGAUCCAAUCUAAAACGGUCUUCAUGUCGUCGGACAGCGUGGUGACCUUGGCGGCAAGGUCGGAUGGCGUUGCCAUCUGCUCGUCUGCAGACAUGGUAGAUGCACUCUUCGUUUUCCUGAUCGGUGGUUUGCGGAAAAUGUCGAGGACGGAGAAUUAUUCACUGAUAGCUUUGUAGACGCUUUUGGUUCGCACUAUACACCAGGAUCACAUGCUCUGAUACCACCUGAUCCGUCGGAAGAGGAAAGCAAUAUUGCAGCGCCUUCCCGAUGGAUAUCUAAAACUAGAUUAAAGAGAAAAAAAAAGAAAGAAUACAAUUUCUAUGUGGAAGAGUUUAUAUAUUAAUUCUCUUUAAAUUGGAGUGAUUUACAAGAGCUAGUAUGACACUAUUAUUAGCCUUUCGGUUUACAAGAAGAUAAGAAUAAAGUAUUUUAAAAAUAAUAAUUUUAGUCUUAUUCUAACCGAAGUAGUUGAAACUACUUUAAUUUUAUUCUAAUCGAAUUAGUUGGAAUCUUCUCGAUUCAUAUCUUAAUCGAAUUAGUUAGAAUCAUCUCGAUCCUUAUCCUAACUGAAUUAGUUGGACCACCUCCGCCUUAUCCUAACUGAAGUAGUUGGAACGGCCUCCGCUUUAUCCGCAACGAUUGAGACUUAUCCGGAUGGUUUGAUCGUACCGGAUCAGAGGGAAAGAGGAAAUGGUGGGGAGAAAUCAAAGAGAGUAGAGUUUUCUUCAGAAGGAUGUAAGAAAUUUGAAUGCAUUAAUUAAAAGGAAGGUGGAAAGGCAAAUAAAAGGUAGGUUAAGAGUUUCAAUCAAGGCGAGACCCACUCUCAAACAAAAGAAGGUGGUUAAAGACAAAAAAGGGUGUAGUAAAUACUAGCAGGUGGGCCCCACAACCAAGACUUAAGCUAAGCUUGCCUCAUGGACAAAAUUAGAGGGAUUAAUGUAGAGUUUAUAAAGAAAUCAAUUUAGUCUUCUAUAGAAGAAUACACAUGUAGAAGUGCUAAAUUAUGCUUUUGGCCCUCAAUCUAUGAGAUGCAUGACAUUUUAGUUCUUAUUUAUUACUAGUUAAGAGCUCACGCUUAGCAAUGGAUAGGCAUUGUUGAUGAUAAUUGUUGUGGUGGAUAUUAUAUUAUUGAUAAAUCUCAUCUCAAUUAGUGUUUAGAAUACAUAAAAAAUGACAUAACAAUCAUGAAAGAUUAACAAACUAUAAGUAAACCAUAUAGUAUAGAACUAACAUAUUUGAUUUAAAAAGUAUAUAAAAUAUAUAUAAACAAAUUAUUGAUUUUUUUUAAAAAUAUUCUAUAACACAAUAACUUUAAUUGUACUCUAAAUAAUGUAAAAAAAACAGAAAGGUAAUGAAAUUAUUUUACUUAUUUAAGUAAUUCUUACCACAAAUACGCAAUUGCAAUUCAAAAUAAAAUUUUUAUUACUUUAUUUUAUUUACUCAGUAAUUCUUACCACAAAUACACAAAAAAAUAAAUUAAAUAAUCAAAUUUCAAAGAGAAUUCACAUCAUUUCUAAUAAUUAUUUAGAGAUUAGAGCACAUAGAAUGAAAUAAUUAAGAUAAAAAAGAGAAAAGUUAGGUUUUUUUAGCAUUAAAAUUGGGCAUUUUAUUAAUUGAUUUAAUUGGCUAAUUUCAUAUAGAUUUGGAAACAACAAAAUGGGAUUACAAAGAAGAUCUCUCAAAAGAUCAAAACUUGAUUAGAUCGAAGAUGCCGCAACAAGCAACUCCAAAAAAUUGGCUUUUCUCUCACCUAUCAGUACAGACCAAUAAAUUGGCCUUAAUUAGCACAUACAGCUAAUAGCACACAAAGCUCUCCAAUAUGCAACGAUUGGUUAAUUAGAGUUGCGGCCUCUCCUCUUAGCCGUACGGACCUCACAACAAUCUAGACUUAAUUAGUGCAUGACUUCUUAAUUUCGUCGCGGCAAUUAUGAACUUGAUCGUAGUAUUUAUAUAUAUAAUACAUAUUUUCUAACUAGAGUUUAAUUCUAAUUCAAUUAGAAUUACACUCCUAAUUAUAUUCCAUAUAUAUCAAAUUAAAUCUAAUUCCAAUUAGAUUAUAAUUUAACUCCAAUUUAAGUAACUACAAAUCUAAACCAAAUAUAACACCUACAAAUUCAAGAUUGCAUAGAUACUUAAUGAGAUGAAAUGAAAAGCAAUGUAAAAAAAUAGUAAUAAUAAAAUAUUGAUGCACUCAAUGAACACCGGUGGAGGCUCCGCUCCGAGCCCACCACGAAGCCCUCUACUCUGAAUUGCACCCCCGAUCCCUGAUAGAAGAAUCAACUGAUCCCUGGUAGAAGAAUAUCAUCGUAAUGCACUCCUCGAACACCGGCGGGGCUCGAUAGUGCCACUAUCGGAGCCUUUCCCGCCGCCACCGUAGGCGGCGACAGCGCUACCAUGGGAGCUGUCAGAGUCGAGGUCGAGGUGCGUGGGGACCUUCGUUGGAGAAGGAGGCGGUAGGUGCGGUGGCAACGGGACGUGUCCAAUCCCGAGUAUCAUGGUACUAGUGCUUCUCCUGAAUAGGGGUUAAGGUUAAAGUUUAAAAGAGAGAGAGAGAGAGAGAGAGAGAGAGAGAGAGAGAGAGAGCGAGCGCGCGCGAAAAGGGAUGGAGGAUGGGGAAAGACAAUGGAUGAGGGAAGGUGGGGCUAAUAAUUGGGUUUAGGCUUUAGGAUUAUUAUUGGGAAGGAGAGAGAGGGGGAGGGUGAGAGAAAAAAAGCAAAUGCCCUUUCGAGAGAGGGAAGGUGAGAGAAAUGUUCUUUGGCCUUCUGAGAAGACAUUUAACAUUCUGGGAAGCGGGAUGUUGGGUGGGGUGAGGAGAGGAGGUCAAAGCAGGAGGAGUAAGGGGGAACGUGACACAUGGCACAAAGAGAGUGUCAAUUCAUAGUUUGUUUUGAAGGGAUGGGCGAUGCGGAAAGAGGAGGGAUGAGGGAAGGUAGGGGUAAUAAUUGAGUUUAGGUUUUAGGAUUAUUAUAGGAAAGGAGAGAGAGAAAGGGUGAGAGAAAAAAGGCAAAUGCUCUUUCGAGAGAGGGAAGGUGAGAGAAAUAUUCUUUGGUCUUUUCAGAAGCCAUUUAACAUUCUGGGGAGUAGGGUGGUGGGGUGGGGUGAAGGGAGAAGGUGAAAGCGGGAGGAGUAAGGGGAACGUGACACAUGGCACGAAGAGAGUGCCAAUUAAUAAUUUGUAUUGAUAAUUUUUGGCUUUAAAAACUUUAAUUUAUUAUAAUUUUUUGCUUGAACUUUAUAUAUUGUUAUAAUCAUGUCCUACAUUAAUUUAGUUAGUUGAAUGUUAAUAUAUUCUUAUGUAGCGCGUCAUCAAUUACAAUGUACAGUACUUUCACCUUCUCCUACAAGGACAUUUUCCUCAUUUGAAACAUGAUAAUAGUAUGAUUCAGGUUCCACAACAGUUUAAGUAUUCUUAUCGCUGACAUCGUUGUCCAAAAUUCGUCUAAUCAAUUCUAACCCAACAACAAUGAAGGUGCACUAAGCAUUUGAUAAAAAGAAUUGAAGAACCCAAUAAUAAACAUGAAAAACUUAUUCUUUUUUAUAGAGGACUAGUGCUCUAGCGAAUUCACCCUCCCGUGAUAGAUCUUCUCCAAGAGCAACUUUGUGAUAAAACCGACCAAGAGAGUUACUGUGCAAACCUCAAACCCUUAUAGCACAUGAGUGCAGCAAAAAUCGGAUCUUAUGUAAAUUAAAAUAGAUGAGAAUAGAGAAAAUAGCACGAAGAUGAGCAAGAAAUAAAAAUCGAGAAUACAAGAAAUUUACAUUGUUCGAGUAACGGUGUAUCGGCUUAUGUCCACGGGCAUGAUCUCCUUAAUGCGUUGUUCGAUUACUCCAUGGCACAACAAAUACAAAGAGUAAUUUGGAUACAAAAAUCUCUCCCUAGAGCUCUUCCAUGUUUACCUCUUAAUUAGAGUCUUACAAUGAAGCUCAAAAAACCUAAACAUGAAUUAUAAGUUCAUAAAACCCUAAAAACCCAAUUCUAGUAGGAAACGAUCUCCUUUGUUAAUUGAAGUCUCCGAUUCACUUCUAGUGUCUAUCUCCGCUGAGAUAUCCUCCAAAAAUAUUUGUGGACCAUCCCUAAUCUCAAAGCAUGAAAUUAAAUCAAGUUGUAGUCAUAUUCGACUCUACAAACUCAUCUGAGCCGAGUUCCAAAACUCAUAGGGAUUCUAGAACACGAAACUUUGCAAUAUGUCGAAUUUGAAAAUUUGCUACUAAAUUCCAAAAUCUCAACCUCAGCUUAGAUUACAUACUCUUGGGUUUUGAAAUUCCUCAACCAAGUUUCAAAAUUUCUCAUUCAGUCCAAAUUUCAUAUUUUAGGGUUCUAUAUAUAAUUCCUCUACCAAGUUCUCGAAGUUGAACAUCUAGUAACUUAUUUUAUUUGGCUUUUCUUUGUGAUACUGACUCGAAACAUGGUUUCACUUUAAUCCAACACUCUGUACAUUGCCGUUGCUAUUGUGCUUGCCAAAGGUUAUCCCUUCUCCACCGACACCAUUGUAGACAAAGAACCACACCUCUCUAUCCUCACGAGGGGAUCAUGAUUGGCAACAAAGAUUUGGUAGGAGGAUCGAAAGGAGACGAGGAAUCAAAGAGAACUAUCUCUAUCUACGACAUCAAAGGUAGGGUUUUGCGGCAUAGGGAUCGAAAUAAGAGAAGAAGAUUGCUAUGGAGCGGGUUGGGGAGAGGGAGAGCUCACCAUAGGAGAGAGGAAGUGGAGAAAAGGAGAUCGAGGUAGAGGGGGGAAAGAUUGAGAUCAGAGAGAAUGAGGGUGGAGCAGUUGAGGGGGCGGGUGGUGCAGCAAUGAGGGGUGGGACAAAAUUUUUUGUGGGAUAGUCCUUAUGGUGAGACAAUUUAAUCCACCACCCAUCAUACUUCGAGAUUCGUGCUAGUUCACAUAAUGGAUGGUAGAUAGGACCAUCUCACAGUAGGUAUAGUCUCCAUAAAAUUUUGGUAAAAAUAUACUUAUCUAAACUAGCCAGCCUUUUAAAAUUUUAAUAUUUUUUACUAUCCAACUUUUUAAUUUGUUUAAUUUGAGUUAGUCAAUAGCACUUUUAGGCUGCGUUUUUAUUUCGAGUAUAAGUAAGAAUUGCUAGUUCUAGGGAAAGGUACAAGUUCAGAUAUAAACAGGAACUAGACCAAUUUUACGUUUGAAUGAAAAUGAGGUUGUUUCAAGGAAUAAGGUAAAUAGUGUUUGGAUGGUUAGAUUGGAACAAGAGAAUUAAGAGUUAUAAUUUGAAAUUAAAAUUAUAUUAUGCAAUUAAUUAACAUCAAAAUAUUACUUAAAAUAAAUAAUAAAUUAAUUAUUAAUAAUUAAUUAUGAAUAAUAAUAAUUAUUAAUAAUUAUUAAUAAUUAAUAAUAAUUAAUUAUAAAUAAUAAUAAUUAUUAAUAAUUAAUUAUAAAAUAAUAAAUUAAUAAUAUUGAAUAUCUAAUUAAUAAUAAUAAUUAAUAAUUAUUAAUAAAAAAUAAUAAUUAUUAAUAAUUAAUAAUAAAUUAAUAAUAGUAUCGAUUAUCUAAUUUUUAAUAAUAAUAAUUAUUAAUAUUUAUUAAUAAAUAAUAAUAAUAAUUAUUAAUUAAUUACUAGUAAUAAUAUAAUAAUAAUAAUUAUCUAAUUAUUAAUAAUUAAUUAUAAAACAAUAAAUUAAUAAUAAUAUAGAUUAUCUAAUUAUUAAGAAUAAUAAUUAUUAAUAUUUAUUAAUAAAUAAUAAUAAUUAUUAAUAAUUAAUAUAAAUAAUAAAUUAAUAAUACUAUCGAUUAUCUGAUUAUUAAGGAUAAUAAUUAUUAAUAAUUAUUAUUAUUUAUUAAUAAAUAUUAAUAAUUAUUAUUCUUAAUAAUUAGAUAAUCUAUAUUAUUAUUAAUNAAUAAUAAUAAUUAUUAAUAAUUAAUAUAAAUAAUAAAUUAAUAAUACUAUCGAUUAUCUGAUUAUUAAGGAUAAUAAUUAUUAAUAAAUACUAUUAAAAAUUAUUAAUUAUUAUUAAUUAAUUAUAAAUAAUAAAUUAUUUAAUUAUUAAAAUAAUAAAUAAUAAUUUAAAUAUAUUAAUUAGAUUAAUUAUUAAUUUACUGCCAUUAAAAUUAAAUUUAGAUUUUGAUUAAUCUUGUUCUCAUCAAGGAACAAGCUUGUUCCAGUAAAAGGGUGGAACAACAGCCUUAUACUAGCUUGUUCUUGAAAUCCUGGAAUUACUGUUCCUGGGUACCAAAUAUCACGUUUGGGAAAGGAGGGAACAAUAGCUUAUUCUCCUCCUUGUUUCCGAACUAAAUGCUACCUUAGGAAAAGGCACACCAAUCAUCCAAUAAUUCACUUACAAAAAUUGGCCGAGGGUUGAGGGAAAGACACACCAAUCAUCCAAUACAACUCGUCAGGAAGAAUAUUAUUUUCUAGGGUUACGAGAAUUAGGUGGUCAUAAGUUAUAGCAAUUUAGCAGGUAAUUGAAAGGUUAAUAGUUAUUAUUAUUAUUUUUUUUAAAAAAAAGAGAGAUAGAUAGCACGCUACCCGCUUCAUUUAUUUCAUAUUAAAAGGUUAAUAGUUAUGGAAAUGAAAAUACAUAAGUUAUGAGAUUUAGAAAUUGAAAAGGUACAGAUUAUAGAAGGACACCAUGAAUGUAUAGAAUAUGAAAAGAUGUGACACCAUGAAUGUACAGAAUAUGAAAAGAUGUAACUCCUUGAGACAAGUAGUGGUCAAUGACAAAAUAAUUUUAUUAACAAAAUGUUUCAACAGAUAUUAAUCCAGUUUGUUUUUGUUUCCGCUUCACAAAAGCUUCAUAUUGAAGAAGCAAGCUACUGACUUGCAGUUUUCUUUGUUUCACGGUAAUGAACUGCCGGUAAACAGGAUAGUAAAGUGAUAGUUAAUUUUGCAAACCACAUGGCAUAUUUUAUUAUUUUAUAAUAUGCAUUUUAUCACUCUAUGGUUUGAAAACAGUAUAACUUUUUUUCAACUCUUUUAAACCGUAGGUCUUUUAUAGUAAAAUGAAAAUAAAAUUGCAAGAUAUUUACAUGCAAUUUCUUGAAUUUACAGCAUGGUAAAAUGAAAAUGCGCUAGAUCACACCGAAGCAAAUUGAAGUUUGCCCUAAAAGAGGAAAAAUAAUUAUUUACAUUUUUUUUUUUUGGUUGUUGUUGUCAAAUAAGCACCUUAAAUGCAAGGAUUGCAAGCAAUCCACAUUCAUUCCUACACUAAUUCAUAUAGAAAUUUUAUUUAAUAAAACAAAAAACCGACAAUAAUGCCACAUGUACAAUGCCCUCCUGUUUUAUUAAUUUGUUUAUGUUUUUUCAACAAUUGGACGUCCUAUAAUCAUGUAAUUAGCCGAAUUAGUGUAUGAAGUUUGUAAAGAGUGACCCAGUAGUGGAUUAGUCUACGGCGCAAUGGCCAAUUAAAUUUGCUUCGUUUAUGGGAGUGAAAUGUGUAGUGAGUUCAGCGAAAAUACGUGUUCAAUGAAGUUUUUUCUUUGCUAACAAUUUUUCUCUUUUGUUUAAGGAGUGGUUUGUAGCAAUACUACUUAGCAAGUUUCGAAUUAAACAUUUUCUCUGUCUCUUUGUGGUAGCUAGCAGGUAUUAAUGACUACUGAGGCAGUAAGGCAUCAUCUACUAAACUUGUAGAGAAGUUAAGAAUUUCAGCAGUCAGCACUAACUAAUUUAUUUGUUUCAGAAAUAAGUGAUAAAAUUAAACUCGAUCUUAACUACUGGCACUUGGAUAUCAAUCUAGUUUGUUUCUAUCUCAAUAUCAGGCACUCAUUGAUCAGGAAUCGAAAUAUUUCCCGAGUCUUGAAGGAGAAGAAGAAGAAGAAGAAGAAGAAGAAGAUGAUGAUGAAACUCUGUUCUGGCGGGAAUGGGAGCGGAUGGACAAUGAGUUGCUCGACAAAUUGAGGCGGGGGGACGAGACAUUAUUCCCACCUGAAACAGAUGCGGAUCACCGGGUCAUUGAGGUUCGUGGUAAUGGUAAUGUCGGUAAUCAAGCAGGGCGCAGGGGUUGCCGAGGAGUUACCGUCGGCGGAAACUCGGCCCUCCAUAUCGUGGCUACUUUCGGGCACUUGGAGCUCGCGAAGCGGAUCUGCGACAUAGAUUGCUCCCUCCUGGAGGCACGCAAUGCGGCGCUCGAGACGCCGCUGCACUGUGCUGCGAGGGCCGGGGCAGACCAAAUUGUGUUCCUCUUUAUUUCAAAGGUCCGCCAGGGUGAGGAGGCGGUACUCCGCGUCACAGAUCGGAAAGGGAAGACAGCAUUAUAUGCGGCGGCUGAAGAAGGUCAUGACGAGGUGGUGAGAAUUUUGUUGUCUAAGGAUCCUGAGCUGGCGGGUAUCGUCGACUAUAAUGGUGUAUCUCCACUCUAUGCUGCCGUGCUGUCGAAAUCGCUCAAAGUUGUUCAGAAGUUGGUAGAAGUCCUUGGUGACAGAGGGGACGCGCCAGAGGCAUCCUAUGCCGGACCGAAAGGCCAAACUGCACUGCAUGCAGCCGCCAUCGUCCAAAGCCCAGGUAGUUAACUUACCUGCCUAUCAGCUUCCGCAUGCCCUAUUUUAUCUACUGCCUUUUUUUUUUUUUUUUUUUUUUUCUUUUUUUUUUUUUGCGUUUAGCUCUCUCAAUUUUUCUUUUUCUUUUUACAAAUAAUUCUAGUAAAUUUAUAUUUGUACGCAUAACUCUCUCUUUACCAUGCAAGCACCAUUUUGGUAAUUUUAAAUUGAACACGCUGAUUGAACCACCGUGUUUAAAUACGAUGAUUUAAUCAUCGUGUUCAUAUUUAUAUUUUAAUCUUUUAUUUUUAAGUUAAGGGCUAUAAAAAUACAAAAAAGAAUAUAAUAAUCCAAUCUCCGUGUUUAAAUAUGGUGAUUGAAUCGGGGUGUUCAACUUAAAUAACGCCACCGAGACGCUUAUGUUGAAAGUAAAGGGCUACUUAUACAAAUAUAAAUUUGUUAGAAUCAAUUUAUAAAUUCUUUUGUGAAAAAGCUAAAUGCAAAAAAAAUCCUUAUAUGUAGAUAUUAUUUUAAUUUUUUUUCCUUUAUGUUCUAGAGAUAUGCCAAGUCUAUGAUCUAAAAGAGCUCUAGAAUUACAAUUUGAGCAAUUAAUACUAUCCAUACCUCUCAAAUAGUGUGUAUUUCAUAAAUUCCAUCUAUCUAAUCGGUGAGAUUUCUUCAUUUGUAAUAUGAUGUGACUAAUAAAAAAAUCUCACUUAUUGAAUGAGUAGGUGUAUAUCCUACAUUCUAAAAUGUAAUGUAUAAAUAGCUUUUCUCAUGCAAUUAAAAAGAUAGACUUUUAUUUACCCACAUGUGGUUUAGAUCAUUUUCACUUUGUUAUUCUAUAAUUUAAAAAAAAUAAAAUUAACUAGUUUGUGGUUUUAUCUCCAUUUUUAUCGAUCUUAAAAGUUUAUUAUUAAAUAAGUAAUAAUCACGGAGUAGUUAAGUAUAACUUUUGAACCACACGGUAGCAAAGUAAAAAAAUGAGCUAAACCACAUGAUAAUUAAGUAUAAUUUUUUAAAUUAUAAAAUGGCAAAAUAAAAAUAAACUAAACUAUAAAAGAAAAAAUAAAAUUUAUCUUAAAAAAAUAACCGGGCUAGUAAAAUAACCUAGACCACUGAAUGAUAGAAUUGUAACGUUACAAUCAACUUUAGGCUGUCGGGCUCCCAUUGCUCUAUUUUUAAUUCAUUCUUUUAUUUAUUUCCCUUCCAUACUAUCCAAACCAACCGAUCAAUGACCACACUUUUACCACUGUCAAUUAUCAUACUUAAGGUUAGUAACAAAUUUUAAUUUUUGGAAAAAAAAAUUGAUUUUUUGUUAUUUUAUGACUGUUUAUAAAUUUUUAUUUUUUUAAUUGAAGUAUCAGUUUAAAGAGAAUCAUUUGAUCUGUCACAUUUUUAAAUUUUAUUUAUAUAAAGCAAUAAAAAAUAAAAAAAUAAAAAAUAAAAAAAUAAACAAAAAUUAAGGGGCUGGCCUGGAGCACUGCCCGGGCCCCUGACACGGUUAGGCCUGGCUCGGAUGAGCCGGUACCCUGCUGUUUCGGCCUAAGGUGUUGUGGGCUGUGCCCUCUUCAUGAUAUUGAGAGGUUUUUCUCUUUUUUUUUUUUUUUGCAUUUUAAUGUUAAAAGAAAUUAAGAUUAUAAUUCACUAGGCAGUUUUGAGUGGCCAAUGUAUUAUAGAUAUAUAGCGAGAAACAUCUUGUGAGGAUAACUCUCCUGAUCUUUUGUUUAUUUAUUUAUAAUUAACUUUUUUAGUUUUUUCUUGUUUUGCUCACCUAUUAUUUAUAUGAACUUCAAUGACAGAAAUUGCAGAGAGACUACUACAGUGGAAAUCAGAACUUGUAAAGAAAGUCGAUAAUUCAGGAAGCACUCCCCUUCACUAUUUAGCGACAGCUACAAACACUUAUAUGGUGCGUCAACUAUUGAAAGAUGGCCGUUCUACUGCUUACUACUCAGAUUGUGAAGGGUUUUAUCCGAUACAUAUUGCUGCUAGUAUGGGGAGUUGCCGCAUAAUUCAUGAGCUUAUUGCCUGUUGUCAUGAUAUGGAUGAGUUAGUAGAUAACAAAGGAAGGAAUUUUCUACAUAUUGCUGUACAAGAGAACAAACUGAUGGUCGUUAAGUAUGUUUGUCAGAAUCGAGAGCUUGCAAAAAUGAUGAAUGCACAGGAUAAUCAUGGGAACACGCCGCUGCAUCUUGCUGUAUCUUCUCAGAACCGAGAAAUAGUGAGACUUCUAUUGGAAAAUAAAAGUGUACAUCCAAGUAUCCAGAAUAAGAAACGACGAACCCCUCUAGAUCUUGCCAUCACCAAGAUCGACUAUAGCUUAAUCUCACUACAGGUAAACGAAAUUCCUCCUUUAACAUUCUUUGUCAGAAUUGAAAAAUAUUUACCUGAAAUUCAGAAUGCAAAUGAAUAAAAAUAUUGGAUAUAUACAUUCACUCACAUAUAAAGAAAUAUAGAAUAGUAAUGUACAUAUACAACAUAUCUACGUGCAUAUAUUGAUUUCAGCAUACAUCUACUAUAGAUUAAAUAGGUUAGAAUAGGAUUUCUUCUUUUGCCGUUCCAAUUCACUAGUAAUCCACAAAUCAUAUCGUAAUUCACAAUUCCACAUUCCGAAGGUGGUCAAAGAAUUAGGUAGCUAUUGAUGAGAGGAUAAAAAGAGAGAGGAAGAGAGAAAAGUAGCGCAAUCGAUCAGUACUUGCUAAUUGGUCCUUCUAUAAUGAGCUUUUCUUCUUUGACUUCCAGAACCCGCACAUCUGGAUUUUUCACUGCUUACAACAGAUUGGUGCCAUCUACGGCCCUCAACGACUGGACCGCUUAAUAUAUGACUCCAGACGCAAAGACAUCGACAUCGCCAGACAAAAUCUUGACAAUGAACAAAAGAAGUACGGGAGUACAGCUAAAAAUCUAGUAAUUGUCUCAGUACUUAUCGCUACCGUGACAUUCGCUGCAGCUUUCACCAUGCCUGGGGGUAACAUUGCUGACGACCACCAAAAUGGAGGCACGCCAACUCUAGCAAGAAAAUAUGCUUUCACGGCUUUCAUCAUCUCAGAUUUCAUUGCAUUUCUUUGUUCCCUCAUGGCUACGAUUUGGCUUAUGUAUGCUGGCUCACUUGCCAUACAUCAUUCUCGCCGGUUAGAACUCAUUCUGCGAUCCCAAUACUUCAUUAGCAUAGCGGCACAAAGUAUGGUAGCAGCAUUCGCAUUGUCCGUGUAUGUGGUGCUGGCCCCAGUUAACAGUCUCAUUGUCCUUGUUGUCUUCAUAUUUGCGUUCCCGUCAGUCUUGUUAUGCAGUCCAGAUAUUUGGCAGCGAUUUCGUCUCACAAUGACAAUACAGAGAAGACUAGGAUGGUCAACAAUAUUGUGCAAACCCUGCGUAAUAGGGCGACCAUUCGGGCUCGGUACGGAGAGUUUUAACUGGUUUAUCUUUGGGCCGAUAGUGUAUUAUUUGCUAGUUUAUAUACUCAUCUUUGGGGUAUCACUGAUUCUUUCCAUCAAACAUUUGCAUUUUACCUAAAAGUGGGUGCGAAUUAAAUCUUUCAUUGUCAUCAUCCAAGGGCCAACUUUUUUACACUAGUCUUUGUUAGAUGUAUGCCCUAGAAGCCAACCAGGCCGAUACAUGUAUUCUUUCUAGGACAUAAUUUUGUAUUUGGUUUUAAAAUAUUAUGAAUAACUUUGGGUUUUUAUUUCUAUUUAUGUUGUGUAUGUGUCCAUGAAUCGUCCAAGGAAUUAAUAAGAUGAUGACAUAUAUUCUCAAGUGUUGAGAAUUUGAGACAUGUGUCAUUGGUGAUUAAUUCCUAAAUGCUCCCGAUCAAUGGAUCAUCACGGGGACGGUGAUUGAUCCGGUGAGAUUGGUGCAUAGGUCGCUUCCCUUUCUGGAUAGACGAGUCUCGAGUCGACAGUGUGGGGACACUGAAGCGAAUAUGCAGGUGGUUGUUAGAGAACAAGGGUACCGAGCGUGACCAACGCGAGAAGUCACUUGGAUGUCUACUCACUCGUCAGUGACUUACUCAAUUGUUGCAGUAGUGUGACUGGUCCUUUGACCUGCGGUGCCUCGGCUAUUCACAAUGAGGUUACUGUAGUUUGACUGUACAUACACUUGGUCCCUAGCCAUUCGGGUCCUUGCGGUGCAUGUUGGCUGCAGUAGGUUCAUUGUAGGAAUAGGGUGCGCACUUAGAUGGAAUCUAUCUCCCUUGGUAGAUAGGGGUGUUAGUCCUAUGUGAUUUAUGAGACCGAGUUUAGAAGACCUUGGCCAGGGCAGAAUAAAUAGCGGAAAAGGGUUUCCGAUAUUAGAAACUCGAGUCGAAUAAAUUUAACAUAUGACAGACGAUGGGGUUUGACGAGUUAUUCCAUAACCUCCGUCUAGUCGGGACUCAUGAUAGAAGGAUUGUAUCACACGGUAACUGCACCAAGAGGUUCAGUAUUCCAUUCUACUGGAAUGCCACUACAUGCUGCUAGGCGUCACUGGUGGAUUGUGAGACUCAUGAGAAUUAUCUAGAUGAUCGAUAAUUCUCAUUGGGCUGAGUUGGAAUUGUUCUAAUCCAUUGAAAGGAGUUUCAGUGAUAUUGUUGAUAGUGAUCAAAAUAUAUCUCACUACCAGAUAGAAUAGAACCUAUGGGGUCACACACAUAAGAGGUUGUGAUUGAUCGGAUAGCUAGAUCACGAUUAUUGAAUCGCCGGAGGACCUAAUUAUCAAUUUAAUGAUAACUAGACUAAUUUGUAAUUGUUACAAAUUAGUGGUAUUAAGGUGUAAAUGUUACAAGAGAGGACUUACUAAUAGUUAGUAAAUUAUAAGAGGACUUAUGUGCAAGUGUUGUAUUAUUAAUUUGAUAAGAUCAAAUUAAUAUAAAAUUCAAAUCGAAUCAAAUUAGGAUUUGAUCGAUGUAACCAAUUAAGGAAAAGAUAAAUUUAAAUCUAGAUUUAUACUUAUCCUUAAUUGUCAUUAUAUUAUUAGGAAUAGGAUUAUAUUCCUAUAUAUAAUAUACGGGAGUUUUUAGAAAACCCUAGCCCGUCAUAUCUCUUCUCCUCUCUUCCAUCUUCUAGCAAAUAGACGUCCUUUUGCAAGGGAGCUAGCACCCCGGUGAGGACAUCGAUCAAAUCAAGAACCUCGUGUGGAUACCUAUAGAGGCCGGACGCGUGUGCGGCUUCAAGAGAACCCGAUUCCACGAUCAUCAAAUUGAGGCAAGGAUUUAUCCGCGAAAAAGGUAAAGAUUCGAUCUUACUUUCUCCUUUAAUCUUAAAGAACAUGAGGGAUCCUAAUUGCGUGGUUUUGAGAUUAGAUCUCGAGAGUUUUUCAAAAUCAAAUCUGUUUGAUUUCUUUUUCCGCUGCGUUUUACCGUACGCAAUUUUCUAACAGUCUUAUCACUCUUUCUCUUCUUAAUAAAUAAAAAAUUCAGAAAGGAUUGUCUAAACCCUUGGAUGAUUGGACGUAAAAUUUACACCCAAAGAAUUAGGUGUGCAAGUAAUUUAUAUAUUUGAAAAGUAUUUUGAGUUAUCUUUGUGAUGUAAUAAGAGCUAGAGUCCUUGCCGGUCUCUAGUUCAGAGUCUUAAUGUGUUUGGGUCAAUCAUAUGUAUUAAGCUUGCUUGGAUUAAGUUAAUUACCCUGUCGGUUUUAGAGUCUGUAAGUUUCAUGGCACCUGUUUAAUAUGUGAUGAGUGAAUUUGUAAGCAUUUUCUUAUUUAAUUCACAUCUUGGUCUUUAAGUUUCAGGUCACUACUAUCUUGUACAAUGUUUUUGAUCGAUCCGCCAGUGUGGCGCUAGCUAGUUGUCCAUUGAGCAUGUCAACUGCUCGCUGGCAAUCCCUCUCUGCAUGCAAUACAUCAACGCCUUCAUGGCGAAGCCUCCUGCGAAAAUAAUGUUCUUAGUAUUUGUUAUAUUUGGUUUAGAUUUGUAGUUAUCUAAAUUGGAGUUAAAUUCUAAUCUAAUUGGGAUUGGAUAUUAUUUAGAUUUAAUUUGGCAUAUAUGGAUUAUAAUUAGGAGUGUAAUUCUAAUCUAAUUAGAAUUAGACUCUAGUUAGGAGACAUGUAUUAUAAAUACAUGCUACGGCCAAAUUAAAGAAGUCGCGACCAAAAGAUUAAGAGCCAUGGAAAUUAAUUAAGGUGUUGGUGCUCCGUCCGGUAAAGAAGCAGUCGCGACUCAAAAUUAAGCUAUGCUCUAAUUAAGCUAUAUAUAUUUGAGGAGAGUUGACCGAGCCAUGCAGGUUGGUCUCUACGAGGAGCCGCAGCCUUAAUUAAGAGGUGAUACUUAAUUAAAGUAUCUAUUGAGUCGAGCCAUCUCUUCUUUGACGCAUAUGUCCGUACCACAACUGGGACGUGCGACGUGGUGCGCUUCGGUAAGAGGGUCGAGCCACUUAAGUUUUGUACGGAUGCUAAUUGCGGCGUUUCGGAUCUAAUUACGUUUUGGUCUUUUGAGAGAUCUUCUUUGUACUCCGCCUUUUCGACAUUAAUAAAUUAUUUGCUCCGUCUUCGCCCGUGGACGUAGGCCGUUGGCCGAACCACGUAAAUAUCGGUGUGUUCUUUCCGCUUAUCUUUUCUUUUCUUGCAUUAAGUUAUUUUCUGGAUCUAUUUUUCGCCGUUCCGAUUUUAACAGUAUUAGAACGAGAUAUAAAACCAAAGCCUAUAUAUAGACUCACCAUUCAUCUUUUGCAAAGCAUCAGUGUUGAUCUUGAUUCUUGGCACUAUAGGAAGCGCCCAAAGCUGUUUCCGGUCAAUAUUUGAACCCAGCUUAAUUUUAGUACUCUUUUUUUAGAAAAUGGUAUAUGGGCCGAACAGUUAGGCUCUCCACUUUUGUUUGGGGCCCAUUUCCAUUCAUCCUUCACCGGUUCAGUUGUAUCUUUUCCAAGUCAAAAAUCAAAUCCAUUAACACUAAUGAGUACACGUGAAAGUGGUUAGAAUAAAUUCUGAAUAAAUCCGACACCAAAUUCGAUAAGAUGCGAAUAUGAAUGUCAAAAUUUAGCAUUCGAUAUAUAUUCGUAUUCAAAAAAAAAAGAGAAAAGGAUUGAAUAUGGUUUCCCAAAAAAUACGACCAUAUUCAGCUGCUUUCAUCCCUAGAAGGUAAAAAAGAUAUUAAUAUAUAUUAUAGGGAAAUAAAAUGAUUUUCUAUCGUAUUCUUUAUUUAUUUUAUUAUGAGUGAGUUUUAUGUUCAAAUGCAUAUAUGUUUGUUAAAUAUUAAAUUUUAUUGAAUAAAAUAUGUGUAUGCAAAGUUUGAAACAAGAGUGUGAGACUUUAAUUGCAUCCUUUGUCUUCUUCAUGCUAAUUUUCAUUUAUAUUUAUAUUGCAUAUUUGUAUAAAGUUCGGUUACUACAUUAUUUUGAAUACGAUCACUUUCGUAUUCAUAAGUCAUUUUUAAUUAUAGAACUUCCGGAUCAACGAGUCAUACUGUUAAACGUAAUUUAGAGUAUGUAAACAUUUUAGAAACUGAAUUUUGUAAUUUAUUGAUAUUAUAUAUCUUAUGAUCAAAGGGCUUUAAAAUUGACAUUUUAGCUGCUGGUACGUGCGUUUUCCAGUUAAUAGUAUGGUAAAAUCGAAAACGGUUGAAUUUCUAAUAGAAAAUUUUAUUCGCUAUAUAAAGCAAAAUAAAUGACUAUCAUCUUGAAUUUAAGAACCCUAACUGCUAGUUUUACGUGUUCGUUCAAUUUUGACCAUUCAUUUUAUACCCACUUGAUUGUUCAAUAUAAAUUCAAAAAAUUAUAAAAUACGGUUUUUAAAUACUUUAAAUAUUCUAGACCAUAUUUAACGAUAUAUAUAGCUUGCUGAUUUGGAAUCUUUAUUAAUAAAAAUAACAUAUAAGUACGAAUGCCUCCGUACCUGUAAAAGUAUAGUAACUCUAUAUAUUCAUUAGUAUAUAUAUUAUUAUCCGAAUAAUAUCCAAAUAUAUAUCCAACUCAUAUCUGAAUCAAAAUAUGGUUUUAAUAUGGUUUUAGUGGAUAUGACAACGAAAAUUUAAUAUUCUAUACAUAUCCGCAUCCAAAUUCGUACUUAAAAAAAAUAAUUAGAUGCGAAUAUGACUUUGUCAAAAAUCCGAUUGUAUUCGGCCGUUUUGAGCCUGGUCAAAGUCAUGAACCAAGUGAACUAGAGUUGGAUUGAAUACAUAAACGUUCUAUGCAUGCCUUGAUGUGAGCGUUUACUGAAUAGGACAAUGGGAUUUCAAUUCUUUUAUUAAUCUUCAUAGAGCCAGUUCAUGCCACCACAUAUAAUCAUAUUUAGCUGUGCUAGGCUGGAAUAUGAGAAAAAGUUUAAAAACUGAUUAAGAAUGGAAAAGAGAGAAGUUUAAGUUUGGUGGAGAUAUUUUUGACACAUUAUAUAUGGGUUCAAUCAGAUUUUAUUUUAUAUUCGGUAUAGUGUUAUUAUUGGCACAAAUCAAAACAAUAGUAGAAAAGAAAUCAUGCUUUAACAUACAACUAAUAUGUGAUCGAUAUAAAUUCAAUCAACAUAUUACACGAUUAAUAAGUGUUACAAACAACUUUAAUUACAUAUUAGACGCAAUUAGUACGAAGUCACUGAGCCAGUCACAAAUUAUGACUAGACGUCUUAUAUAUGUCUGCAUGUUAUCUAAAUAAAAAAUCCAUUCAAUAACCAUGUAGUGAAAAUAAUGAUGACUAAAUCUGAAAAAAUAAAAUUUUGAAAUAUAAUUCACGGUAUAAAACUAGUUUGGACUCUUCUAAAUGUUUAACUGUCCAAAAUGUGUCAAUCAAAACUGAUCGAGCAAGAUCAUCUAUAUGUCUAGCCUGUGUGAUAUCACGCUACGUCUUUAUUUUCGGAAGCAAAUGGCAAAGGACUUGAUGGUUGGUACCCGAGACUCAAGUUUGAAUCCUAGUUGAUUCACAUUUCCAGCUAAGUUUAUUUCUAAAUGAAAUAAACGAAACAGAUAGCGUGCUACCUAUCUCUCAAAAAAGAAAAAAAAAGAAAAAAAAAAGAAGAAUAUUAUUUUUUAGCAGUAGUUUUAUUAAGAUUCUGAUUGGAGGAAAAGUAAGGGUAGCGGUCGGUAGUAACUGUGGCUGCAGCAAGUAAUAAUUUCUCGUGUUUUUUUUCCUCCGUCGCCAUUCUCAUAGAGUUUGUUGGCCUAAAUAGACUAGCAUGUUGUCGUAUGGCAGAAAGCUAGGUUGGGCCGAGUCACGUUCGAAAUAGCAUAAGGUCGGAUUGAGUUGAGUCAUGUUCGUGGUGGCGGGAGGCUGGUUAGACCGAGUCACAAUUGACAUCUGUGGACGCUGUAUCUUCUGUACGCUUUAAAUGAAUUGACUAUAUCUUUUUAACAGUUCGAGUCUUUGAAAUUAAUGAUUAGCGCCAAUGAUCCGACGUGCUGAGAAUCUGGAACUUGCUCUCAUACUAGUUGCUGAUUCUCCGCUCUGAUACCACUUACUAUAAAUUCGAUACUCGCUCUCGAACUCGUUGUUUUGAAUUUCAGAACGGAAGCGUUCAAUCGAAUUUUUAUUCUAAGUCUGUCUCUUCACUAAAAAUUGACACAAUCACAAAAGAAAAAAAAUCAAAUAAAAAAUAUCUAUUAAAUAAGAUUCACUAAUUAAAAAAAAAAGUCAUACUUGACUCUUUUCCAAUACAGAAAUCAAUUUGAACCUUCUUUCUGUAUCUCUCUUGGUCCUCUCUUGUCUUCUACAAAUCUAAAUUUUUUUUUUUUUUUUUUUUCUUUCGACUCAUCCAUGGACUAAAAGUGCAUGCAACCGUAACCAAGGCGCCUCUCUAGAUCUACUUUGUACGGACACAAAGAAAGCCAAUUGUCAGCCGUGCUUUACUCCACCACAAAGUUUCGCACAAGAACACUUCAACUUGGUCAUACAAUCCACUUCAAAUAUAUAUAUAUAUAUAUAUAUAUAUUAUAUAUAUAUAUAUAUAUAUAUAUAUAUAAUAUAUAUAGAUACACUAGAAAUAAAUACUUAUGGAAGCACGGAGGGCUCCGUGCUUCACUUUGUUUUUCGAUGUUCGGAACUUUCGAAUCGACGAUCGGCUCCGUUAUACUUGAUCUAGAGUAUUUGAAGUAUCUAGAAAAUAAAUUUUGCGAUUUUCGAACAUCAUUUAGCCUAGUGAUCGAAGUGGCUCAAAAUCAACGGCUGAAAAUAAAAAUCUUAUAAAAUUAUGAUGAUAUACAUUAAAAUUUUAAAUCAAAGUUAUUGAUAUUGCUUUAUAGGUAAUAAGAAUUUUCUAUCAAAAUUUCAUGUGAUUUGGAUAUUUCUAUACGUUAAACUUCCAACCGCUCACACGGCCGUUAAAAUUAUUGAUCUUUAAAGCCCCUUCGAUCGACUAGGCAAAUGAUAUUGAAAAAAUCGUAAAAUUUAUUUUCUAGAUAUUUCAAAUACUCUAGAUCAGCUCUAACGGAACUGAUCGUCGAUUCGAAAGUCCGAACAUCGAAAACAACUUAAAAGCACGGAGGCCUCCAUGCUUCUAUAACGCAUACAGCACAACUCUAUAUGUAUAUAUAUUGAUUUACGUCAAAAUCACUAUAAGAAAAGGCAGUCGUAGAGAUGAACUUUUAGUAAUUAUAGAGGUGAUUAUUAGUAACCUUCCAUUCUAUGGUGCGCGAACGAUAGUAACAUGGUGAGAUAGUAAUUAAUAUAACGAAGUACCAAGCCCGCAUAAAAAACCAAGCCUCCAUGUGAUUUAGUAACAAUGGCACGUAACCACUCCCCCCCCCCCCUUCUUAAUCCUUCAUCUCCGUUCCACUCUGUCUAUAUAUAGUAGAGCUAGAAUACUAUUGAUAGUAUGAAAAUAGUAUUUAUUAUUAAUUUUCUUCUAACCAUUAGAUGCCUAAUAUUUAGUAGGGAUUGGUGAAAUUAAUAGUAAUGACCUAUAGAUUGGAUGUAUAGAUUUUAGUGGAGUUUGAUGAAAUAGUACUAAUCCAAAGAUGGAAAAGUUGACGGUAAACAUUAUUUACAUAUUAUCAACAAUAUACUAGCUCAACUAUCUCUCUCUCUAUAUAACUUAUAUCAAAAGCUAUUUCAAUUCUAAUCUAACAUUUCCUCUCUAUAUAUUUAAUAUAUAAACCUCAUAGAUUUAAAUAUUUAUCUUAAUCCAUUAUAAUCUAACGGUAAGUUCUUGUAGUGAAACAAAUGACAAAGGCCAAUCUUCACAACUGGCACUUGGAUAUUAACUCUGUUUAUACUUUAGCUUCAAAAGUUCCGAAUUGAAUUAGUAAGGUACGUAUUAUCCUGUAGUUUUAAUUUUCGUGAGAUACCCAUCCCCUCUCUUGUUAAUGAGAUUAUUUCUUAGAAAGUAACUGUCCCUAGUGCAAUAGUUAAGAGUUUGAUAGUUAAUAUCUAAAAUUUCAAAUUCAAAGUCUAAUUAUGUCACAUUUUUUUCAAGUAAGUUUAUUUCUAAAAAGAAUGAACAAAAUUGAUAGAAUGCUCUCUUUGUCUCAAAAAAAAAAAAAUAAAAAAAAAUAAAAAAAUCUUAUUCCUUUUGGAAUGAAUGCUUCUGAAAUUUUACCCAAAUUAAGAUCGUAAUGUCUAAUUGAUUGCUGAAACUCUAGAUAAUAUAGCACGAAUGAAAUGCACAAAUAGCGUUUCUUGCAUGGUUUUGUGGGCCCGGAUCCGCCACUGUCAUUCUUUUUCAACAUUAUCUUUUUUUACAAAUUCUAUCUUCUAUUUCUCUCUCUUUCUUUUUUUUUUUAAUGCUUGAGGAGGUGGUAAGGGAUGGAAUUAAUGUCCUUUUUUAUUUGUUUAGUUUCUUUUUUCUUUUUUUUUUUCUAGAGUAUCUCUUUUCCUCUCACUUUUUUUUUUUUUUUAAAUACUUGAAGAGAUGGCAAGGGAUAAAAUGUACUUCUUUUUUUUUUACUUUUUUCUUUUCUUUUUCUUUUCUCGAGUUGUAUACGUAGGAAUGUAGGAAGGUAUAGAACUUGAAUCAAACCUUUGAUUUAUAAAGCAUUGGUCCCAAUAUAUUAAUUAAACCUUUGAUUUAAUAAAGGCUGCUUAAUUCAUGUAAUCUGUUUUACCUUUAGAAAGAUAAAAACUUGUUCAGUGUCGGCAUCAAGACUAAGUGAGGAUGACAACUCCUUUCGUAGAAUCAGUUUUUCUAAGGACUGUUUGGUUCAUCGUAAAAACGUGAAAAAAAGUUUUUCAAAACAAAAUUUUCCGCGAAUAACUUAUUUUUUAAUUUAAUUUCCGUCCGUUUGUUUUUAAAAAAAGUUAUUUUUUUGAAAAACUUCUUUUCAAAUUUUAUGGAAAAUUAGCAUUUUCGUUUUCCUAAAAAAAUUUGGAAAUAAAUUUCUAGAAAAACUAGAUUUUCUUAAAACCAAACAUAUGAAAAACUAAAAUAGAAAUUUUUCAUGAAAAAUAUUUUCUCGAAAAACUUUUCUCCUCGAUUUUCCGACAAACCAAACACCCCCCUGAAGGAGAAAAAAAAAAAAAAAAAAGUGACUUUUUCUAUGUAAAAGUUUUAUAUAAUUAGUUAUACAGGUGAAUGAAUUUCUCUCUUAUUGUCAUUAUUGGUUUAUAUAGAACGCAUUCAGAGUAAGUGAAAAUGACAACUCCUUUAAAGAAAGUUAAAAGAGUUUAAAAAAAAAUCACAUGUUUUUAAUAUUUUGCUGCCGAAUAAAUAACUUAGAUAUAAAGAUUAUAAGUCACCAACCGUUCUUCUAAAUAGACAAUUUAUUUAAAAAAGCGAAAGGACAAAAACAAAAAACAACGCCUUCCAAUUUUAUUUCUUUUUUCAGUAAUUGGACACUAUAUAAUUUCAUAAAUAGCGACAGUUAGUGUAUGAAAAUAGCCGAUCGAGUGAGCUAAAAAUGACACUUUAAACAGCUAAUAUUGUUGUUGUGCAAGUAAUCCAGUUGUGGCUUGGUUUACUGAGUACAGUAGCUCAAUUUAUUUUGUUCAUGUUAGUGGAUUUAAUUAGUGGAGAGCAUGUUUUGAAUGAAUUUAAUUUUCUUUACUAACAAAUUUCUCCACUAUUUAACAAUUAAUUUGUCCAAUAAUACUUUGCAAGUUUUGAAUUAGAAGUUUUCAUCUUUUGUUUUAUUAUGAUUCUUUACGUGUUAUAGCCGAUUAAUAUUACAUCACUACAACAGAAUUAGGUUAUAGGGACACAUGUUUGGAACACUUUUGUCUAAGUGUCCCAUUUAUGUCAAAAUUUAAAAAAACAUCUAUUAAUGCCUUAAUAUAAAGUCGAAUCCAAAAAAAAAAAAAAAGAAGUUACUAUACUCAACCCACCCAACCUAACCCAUUUGGCCCGAUUCCAAACUGAAAGGAAAAAAAAAAGAAAAAUCGAUUACCAUCUCUCCUUCUCCCCUCACUUAAUCCACUGAAAUUCUAGACGAAGAGCCCUUCCCUCUCGUCCUCCUCAGCCACCGCAGCCAACGAGGUAGAGUUCCUACGAUUGCUAGAUGCUUAAAUAAGUGUUGCUAAAUUAGCAGCACUUUUUUAGGUUAUAGCGACACUCUUUAACUGUCGCUAUAUAUCUAGCGACCCUACGUAUAGCAACACUUUUUAAGAGUGUCGGUAAUUUAGCCAGCAGUAUUUUUUUUGACCUAUACCGGUAUUUAAAAGUAUCGCUAUAGACCAUUUUUGUUGUAGUGCGUGUUCGGAAACAUAUUUUAGAAAGUGAACUUCAUCUUCUACCAACAUAAAGCAAGUGUUGAGAUAGAUGGCAUCAAAUGAAGAACUAGAUUGAGAAAUUAUAAGCUUUGUUGUCUUUCUAUUUUUUUCAUUUUUUCCUUUUUUCCUUUUUUUUUUGUAAAAAAUACCGAAACUUUUAAUUUGGAUAAUUAGACUCCCUAAACUUUCUCAAAACAUUUGAUAUAUAGGCCACUCCCAUUCAAAGUUAAUUAUACAACCAUUUCAAUUGCAUGUUGUGGGUAUAAAAAUUGUGAACUUUAAAAUAUAAGAAAACUUUUUUUUUUCUCUUCUAAUUUUGAUAACCAAGUACAGAAAUUGAAUAAUAUAGAGAACAAAUCUUCGAUAUUCGCUAAUUCUUUUUAAUAUGUUAAAAUGGAAGAAAUAAAUAUCUUUGUAUUUAAUUUAAUAACUUUCUAAAAUUACAUGCAAAACUUAUAGCCAAAUUUGUUAUGUAAUUAGUAACUUCAAUUGAUGAAAGAGAUCUAUAUAUCGAUACCAUUAAACCCCACAUUAUUUUCCAUUGAAACUUUUUAUUUUAAAAAAUGAAAAACAAUUAACAGAAUGCCAAAGCAGGCCUUUUUGUUUCACUUUCACUAUAAGAAAAUUUUAUUAUAAGAAUGCUUUUUGGACGACGUUUGGGAGAAACAUUUCUAAAUGUCCCUAUUAUAUAGCUAGCAAAUACGGAUGCUUCAAAAAGCAUCAUGGUAUAAACUGUCGAUUAUUUUUAAUUUUCUAUAGUUUUAAAACGUAAGAAUUUUAAAAAAUUCUGAUGCUUUAAAAUAUUAUAAUAUAUUUCAUUGGCGCAUGGUAUAAGGAUUGGUACGCUACCUUCCUUCAUCAUCAAACACCUCAGGUCUUCAAUUAUUAUUAUUAUUAUUAUUUUUAUACUUUCAAAUAUAUAUGAUGGUAGACUAUUUUGGGAUGCUUUUAAGUAUCGUUAGUUACCGAGAAAAGUUCUUGUAGCAUUUUUUUUUUUUUUUUUCAGUAAAUUGGACUCAUCCAAGUUGUUAUUGGCCCUAUAAUUAUAUAAUUAACUUAAGUUUUCUUCGCUAACAAAUUGUCUUAUUUAUUUAAUUAAGAAGUUGUUCGUAGCAAUACUGAUUAGCAAGUUUUGACUUGAAAAAUUCCUUAUUCCAUCUCAUUAAUUGUCUUGGUAAAAUAGAGCAGCAAGAUAUUGCUAUGUGUUUGUAAUUAAACUUAUUUUGCAAAGGGGUUAAUUGCACCAUUGGUCCCUCAGUUUUACCUUUUUUGGAACUUGAGUCCCUAUCCUUUUUUUUUUCUGUUAUUAGAUCCCUAAACUUUAUAUUUUAUUGGAAUUUGGUCUGGACCAUGUAAACUUUUACUAAUUUUGAUAAAAUAAAUCACGUCAACUCUAAUAAAUUAAAACCUAAUAAAUUAAAACCGUACUUGUUGAUAUAUACUACAGUUAUGAUUCGAUAGUUUCUAAUCAAUCUCAUCACCAAAAUUUUCAAAUAUUUAAAAAAGCUUGGUGGAAAAAUGCUCGACUCAGCAGCAAGUUUUCCGAAAGCUCCAAAAGUAGGCGUCUUCUGCGAGGUUGGAUGAUCGUAGGCACGAAAGACAAUAUCGAAGGUGGUAAUUAAGAUUGGGCUUGAUGCGAUGAGUGUGUAUAUGGGAGAAAAGGUUAGGUCUCCGAGUAAAAUAAUGAAUACACACACUAUAACAAAAACGGUCUAUAGCGAUACUUUUAAAUGUAGGUAUAUGUCAAAAAAGUGCUGCUAGCUAAAAUUACCGACACUUUUAAAAAGUGUUGCUAUAUGUGGGGUCGCUAAGUAUAUAGUGACAGUUAAAGAGUGUCGUUAUAACCUAAAAGAGUGCUGCUAAUUUACCAACACUUAUUUAAGCAUUUAGCAACCACCGAAACUCUAUCUCGUUGGCUGCGGUGGCGGAGGAGAACGACAGGAAAGGCUCUUCGUUUAGAAUUUCAGUGGAUUGAGUGAAGAGAGAAGAAAAGAUGGUAAUUGAUUUUUCUUUUCUUUUUUUUUCUUUUCUUUUUGUAAUCGGGCCAAAUGGACUGGGUGUGGUGGGUUGAGUAGAGUAAUCUUUUAUUUUUAGUUGGAUUUGGCUUUAUAUAUAGGGAUUAGUAGAUGUUUUUUUAAAUUUUAUGAUAAAUGGGACACUUACUCAAAAGUGUUCCAAAUAUGUGUCGCUAUAAUCUAAUUCUGUUGUAGUGACAUUAGGGACCCAUGGUGCAAAUUUGCUUGAAAAAAAAUGAAGGACUUGUGGAACAAAAUACAAAACAAGGUAAAGGUUGGGGACCAAUGGUGCGACAAUUUCUUGGUCCUCCUCUACCAAUAUAAAGCUCUACCAGUGACCACUACUGAAGCACAAGGCAUGCAUCCACUGCACAGGCACUUAGAAGAGUUAAUUAGGGGGCUUUAUUUCCUUUAUUUUUUAAUUUUUUAUUUUUUUUCCCCCUCUCUGCUCCAAUAGCUAAUUAAUCAGAAGAUCUUUAAACAAUUAUAGAUCUUUAAACAAUGGCGGUGGCAGGAGAAGGCGACGAUAUUUCUAAAGCCAAAGGUGAUCGAGCUAUGCCAGGAUCCGAGUGGGAACUACGCAUGGAUAAUACGUUGCUCAUGGCAUUGAAAAAAGGGGACGCGAGAACCGUCGAAAGGUUCUUCUCGCGCGCAGCGGUACUCUCUUCCGAAGUCGCAGAUCACGCCUUGGCCAUCAAUCUUCCCGAUGCAGAUAAUAAUAUCGUUGCCGACGGUGAGGCAGGACGCAGGACUUGGCGAGGAGUGACCGAAGGCAGAAAAACUGCCCUCCAUGUCGUGGCUACUUUCGGGCACUUUGAACUCGCGAAGCUGAUCUGCACAAGAGACAGCUCCUUCUUGAGGGCGCGCAAUGUGGCCGGCGAGACGCCGCUGCACUGCGCUGCGAGGGCCGGGGCAGACCAGAUUGUGUCCCUCUUCAUUUCCGUAGCAAGGCAGCAGGAGGACAGGAGCUGGUUGGAGGCGGUGCUGCGCGCCACAGACCGGGAAGGGAAGACUGCACUACAAGCGGCGGCUGAAGAAGGCCAUGCGGCUGCGGCGAGAGUCUUGAUGUCGGCGGAUCCUGGGCUGGCGGCUAUAGACGACGGUAAUGGCGUGUCUCCACUUUAUGCCGCCGUGCUGUCGGGUUCGCUCGAAGCUGUUCAGAUCUUGAUAGAAUCAGAAUCCCCUGCCGAGGGAGGACAACAAGAUGGGACGACAUCCGCCAGCCGCGUCGCACCAGAGGCAUCCUACGCCGGACCGAAUGGCCAGACUGCCCUGCAUGCAGCCGCCCUCCGACACCCAGGUAAUUAAUUAAUCUACCAAUCCGCUUCCUCAUCCCCUAUUUUAAUUAUAUGUUGAAUUAACAGCUUGAAUUUAUAUUAUGAAUUAAUUCUUAAAAUCAAAGUUCAAAUUGAAAAUUAAUUUUGUGAAAUCAAAAUUAACACCAAACACCUCCUAGUACAUGAGCCGUUCACGUUUGAUUACAUUUUUACAUAAAAUUGAGUACCGACUUUUCAAAUUAAAACUCAAAAUUUACAUUUAAAGUUAAAUCCACAGUUGAAUACAUAAUACAAAAACAAUAUAUAUGCAUAUUCAAAUAUAGUUUUUUUUAUUUAAUUUUAAACAAAUUACUUAACACUUCAAUUAAUUUCAAAAAUUAGUUGCAUUAUUACGCGUAUUCUAUAAGUGGUAAGGGGUCUGCCAGUUGCGGAAACAUAAAGCAAAAAUAUUUGAAUUUUAAAUUAGUAUAUAUAUAUAUAUAUAUAUAUAUUUAUUUUGGCAUGCUGAGUGAAAAAGUAAAAAAAUCAAACUUUCUCUUACAUUUAUAUUAGAAAAGUUUUAUACUGAAUAAGAUGUUCAUGAGUAACUUAUUCCAACAUUUAAGCCAGACCUAAAUAUUGACAAUCUAAAUUUAUCUAUUUAUUACAGUCAACACUUUUUUUCUUUUUUUUUUUUUUUUUUUUGGUGUUUUGAACUACAAUGACAGAAAUCGCAAAUAAACUAUUGGACUGGAAACCAACACUUGUGGAGAAAGUUGAUGACUCAGGGAGCACUUUUCUUCACUAUUUAGCAGCAACUCCGCUGGAGGAUGCGGUGCGACAACUACUGGAGCGCGACACUUCUACUGCCUAUCUCUCAGAUUGUAAUGGAUUUUUUCCUAUACAUGUUGCUGCUAGCAUGGGUAGACGUGCGGUAGCCAUUGUGCUUAUUACCCAUUGCAAUGAUAUGGACGAGUUAGUGGACAAAGAAGGAAGGAAUUUUCUUCAUAUUGCUGUACAGUUCGACGAACCGGCGAUCGUCGAGUUUGUUUCUCGGCAACCACUGCUCGCGAAAAUGAUGAAUGGGAGGGAUUAUAAAGGGAAUACGCCGCUACAUCUCGCUGUAAAAUUCAAGAACCAAAAGAUAGUGAGUCUUCUGUUGGGAAACAGAAGGGUGCACCACAGUAUCAUCAACAAGGAUGGUCUAGCGCCUAUAGAUCUUGCAAUAACCCAGCGGGAGCAAGGCUUAGCUGGAGCGCAGGUAAGCUAAAUUCUUGGUUUAACAUUCUGUAUAUUCAACUAUUAAUGUAAGCAUAAGUUUACUAAAUUAAUGACUCAACCCGUCAGUGCUAAUUAAUAAUAUAUAUGAUGAGCCCAAACCACUAACUAAAAAUACUUAAUCUCAAUUAUUAUUAUUAUUAUUAUUAUUAUUAAAGUAUUUUGAUCUUUAUAUUUCAAUUCACAAUUUCUCAUCCGUUCGAUGUGGGACUAUUGGGGAGCCGCGUGUCACGAUUUUAGCGUUUUUGCUCGCAAAGCCCGUGCGGCGCCCGCCUUAAUUCCUGCUCGAAAAUUGGCAAGCCUUCCGUCCCUGUUGCUAGCCCGGACCUUCGCGUCCUACGACUAAGUAUGCAAAGGGAAUGACAAAGAGAAAGAAGCAGAGGUUCACUCAAAAAACUAAGUACUUCACUACUUAGAAAAAGAGGUUAUAACACACAUACACACUCCCUCUUGUGUCCCCUGGCCUUAACCAAACCCCACUAUUUAUAAGCUUAUGGAUACAAUGAACCUAGCCACUCAACACACCCACUAUCUCACUCAUAAUGAGCCCUCAUAACAGCCAAAAGCUCAAGAGUUGCUCUAUUAACUCUUGGUAGUUUUGUAACCUUUGAGCUUCCAUCAUUGAUGGGAGAAGUUACAAAACCCUUCAUCUCCCCACAGCGGGUUGGGUUUGGGUUUCCAUGACAAUCCGAAUUAACACGUUUUCGCUAGCGGAGUUGGGCCAAGGACUCAGAUUGCAUAGCAAUUUCGCUAAGUCCCUGACACGCGGCUAGUAUGUGGCGAACCUAAUUUGCUUUAGAAUUCAUUGUCCAAUUUGCAUAAAAAAUUCAUUAGUUUUGAGAUUUUGCAAAAGUCAGUCAUUAUUUUGGAUUUUACAGAUUUGGUCCGGAUUUUUAGAAAACUGAUCAAAAUAUACUUAUUACUUUAUCUCUCUUUUUUUUUUGUUUUUCGCUCGUUCUUUUUUUUGUAUCCUCUUUGAAGAAGGCCGUGGAGGCGGAGGCGGCUUGCCUCGCCUCCACCCCGCCCUCGCCCUCUCGCCCUCCUCGUCUCCGACCCCGCCGACGUUGUGCUGGCCAGCGUCCUCUGGGACGUCCCGCCUCGCUUCCGCCCCAUGCCCCCUUGCCCGCACCCGCUCCCCCGGGCAUCCUCACCUCCGACCCUACUAAGGCUGCGUCGUGACCCUCUUUUUUUUCUCUCUCUGAUCCAUCUCCACCGCCUCUACGGCCCUCCACGACGGUAACAAGGAUGGUAUCGCGUUCUCUUUUUCCGCCUUUGUCUUCGCCUUCUAUCUCCACCGUAACAGAUUUUUCACUCACUAAACCUACUUUUGGAAACUUGCGUCCUCAUCACCGCCACCGACAAUGAAGAGGAAGUACUUCUCGGCGCCGAGAUCCUCGCCAGCGAGGGAGAGAGCACGCGGUCCACCGCACCCACUCGGGGCCCGCAACGAGUGAGGUGGAGACGAAGAAUAGCGCGAUGACGGGCGACAGUGAGCGCAGCCUCGGCCGGGUUGAAAGCAACGAGGGCUGGCGGCACAUAGGAGUAUUUUUGGUCAAACACUUUUGUUUGCUACAAAUAAAAAAAAUUAACUAAAGGUCAAAAACUAAAGAAUACGGAAAAAAAAAAAAAAACCUAGAGAAGUAGAAAGAAAAAGAUAAAAUUCUACUGUUUUAAAAAAAAUGUUACACGGUUAUAAAUGUAAACUGCACCCUUUAAGAUGAAAGUUACACUCUUUAAAUAAAAAUAACACUAUUUGAGAUAUAGUUACACUGUUUCUCCUCCUUAAAAAGUAGAGGGGAAUGAGGAGGAGAAGAAACUGUAUAACUAUUUUUCAAAGAGUGCAAUUCUCGUUUAAAAAAGUGCAACUUUCAUAUUAAAGGGUGAAAUUUACAUCUCAAAGAAUGUAGUUUACAUUUAUAACAAUGCAAUAUUCUUCUAAAAUAAUACAACUUUAUCUCCUUCUUCUUUGUUUCUAGCUUUUUCUUAUUUUUUUCUCUCUGCUUUUUUUCUCUCGUUCUUUUUUUAUUCUCUCCGAAGAGGCGACAGGGGCGUGGGCGGGGGCGGGGGCAGAGGCGGCCCCUCCUCGCCUCAGCCCGCUCUGGCCCUAGCCCUCGCUCGUGCCCUCACCCGCGCACCCUCAACCUUCCUCGCCUCUGACCCCAUCAAGGCCGUGCUUAUCGCCGCCCUUUGGGAUACCGCCCCCGUUACCAUCACGGAGGGCCGCGGAGGUGGUGGUGGAGGAUGGUCGGAGAAAAAAAAAAGGGAUCGUGGCAUGAUCUCAACGGAGUCAGAGGUGAGGGGGAUUUGGGGAGAGGUGGGCGGGGGCGAGCGGGCACCGGUGAGGGCAGAGGCCAUUGACAUCCCUACAGGCCACAUAGAGCACUCAAACUUUGGUCGUACCCGUUUCACCCAUUAUUGUAUAGCACGGAGCGAUAUAUAGAAAGCUCCACUAAAAACGUAUCCAAAUCUUAAUUUGAGUAGAAUUCAACUCAACAUAUCUUUAAUAAAUUUAAUCUUUAUUUUAAUCUAACUAAAUGUCAACUAUAAAUCUAACUAAAUCCUAACAGUUUAUUGGUCUUUCUAAUGUUUUUUUUUUCCCAAACUUUUAGGGCCCGGAAGAUUGGAUUAUUCAAUGCUUACAAAGGACCGGAGCCGUGUUCGGCCCUCGACGACUGGACCCCUUGAUCAAUCAAAAGGCCAAUGAACCUGAUCUAAAGAAAGAACUGAAGAAAUACGAGAGUACGACUCAAAACCUAAUAAUUGUCUCGGCACUCAUUGCUACCGUGACAUUCGCUGCAGCUUUCACCAUGCCGGGGGGUUACAGAGCCGACGACCACCAAAACGGCGGCACACCGACUCUGACAAGAAAAUAUGCCUUCGCGGCUUUCAUAAUCUCAGAUGUCUUAGCAUUUCUUUGCUCCAUUAUAGCUACCACUUGGCUUAUGCUUGCUGGCUCACUUGCUACAGAUCCUUCUCGCCGCGUAAAUCUCAUUCUGCGCUCUGGACCCUUGAUACUCAUAGCGGUGCAGAGCAUGAUCGCGGCAUUUGCAUUGUCCGUGUAUGUGGUGCUGGCCCCGGUCAGUAUUGUGAUCGCCGUUGUUGUCUGCGUAUUGGCUUGCCCUUCGCUUUUGUUAUCCGAUACAGAAUUAUGGCAGCGUCUUCAUCUGGAAAGGACAGUAAAGAGCAGACUAGGAUGGUCAGCAAUGAACAGAACCCGGGCCAUCUUCCGAGCAGUGGCAGCUUAUUUGGUAGUAUAUGUUGUCAUCGUUGUGUUAUCGCUGUUUUAUUUCGUCAAGCAUUAGUGCGCAUUUGACAUAAGAUUGUGGAGUGAUGCCGUUUGCAGUCUCAAAAGUGAGUGUACUCUUAAUCACUAAAAAGGGACAAUUUUUUUUUUUUAACACUCUCUCUAUCAACCUUUGUUUUUUUAAUAUUAAAAAAAUAGAAAGGAUUGUCUAAACUGUAAGAAAAAUUUUAAAGUAUUAUAGUUGUUUUGUCUGUCUUUUAACUCUUAGUGAAUGGAUAUGGCUCUAGUCAAAGAAUAUGACUCUUAAUAAAAAAAAUGUGACUUUUAGUGAAAUGAUUAGGCAUGAAAAGAUACAAUUUUUCCUUCGUGCAUAUGUUCGUUUGGAGUUGAUUCUUAUAUAUUAUAUCCAUUGACUUUACUCAUAUGUAUUGGUCAAAUGGUCAAAGAGUCGUUAGUAACUAAUUAGUAGCUAUGAUUAAAUGAAAAUACACAAAUUCAAAAAUCACCUCUUGAAGCAACUAUUCAUAAAUUGCAAAGUCACUUCAUCAAAUACAUUUCAUAAAGUGUCGCUUCAUUAAGCUUAUGGUUGUGGUUUAUACAAGUCCUUAAUCUUAACUACUAAAGGACACAUAAAAAAGUUUAUGUCAGCUUCAUUCAUAAUAAUUUCAUUCUUACUUCUUAUUCUAUAUAUCUAUUUCUGACAAUUUAAUGUAGUAAGUGCUCAAAAACUCGACUUCAUUUGUAUAAACGCAGUUGAGGUUAGUACUUUAUUGUAUUUUGAGAGGCUGUUCAUUGCCCCAUACAUAUCAACUUGCUUAAAACAGUUGGUACGGAUUAUUGGAUUAAGCCUUUGGAAGAAUGGCCAUGAAGUCUUGUUCAGUUUUCUACCUAAUCUACUCUUUUUUUUUUGGCUAUGAUAACAAUCCUAAUACUAAAUUCUGGAAAUGUCGAUUGCUACCUUAUGAGAGAUGGCAACAAAUUUUGUGAGAUUAGAAAGAUUUGACUGCGUGAACUUCUUGUAUAGGCAAAAGAACUUAUUUUUCUUUUUGUCAAUUCUCAAACUAAAGUUGCUCUUGUUUAUUUCUAGUAUAGAUACAACAUAUAAGAAAAGCAAAAAUUGGACCAACUUUGUAUUUGGAUCAGAAUUAGGUUAUUCUCGAAGAAAGGAAAAAUAAUAUUUGUAUAGUUAGAUAGGAAUAUUGUCAAAAGAGUAAUUAUAGUUUUAAAAUAAUAAUAUUAACCUAUUAAUUAACAUGAAAAUAAUAAAUAAAUUAAUUGAUUAAUCAUGAAUAUUGUUAGAUAAACAUAAAUAUUAAUUAAUAAAUUAAUUAACCAUCAGUAGUGUUAAUUAAUAAAUUAAUUAAACAUAAAUAAUUUAAUACAUUAAUACAUUUAUUAGUUAAUUAUUUAAUUAGUUAGAUAAUUAGCUAAGAAAAAAAAAAUAGAAUAGACAAAAUAAUAAUUGGUUAAUCAAUAUAAAUAUUAGUUAUUACAUAAACAUAAUAAUUAAAAUUUUAAUUAGCUAAUUAAUCAAACAUAAUAAAUUAAUUACUACAUAGUUAAUUAAAUCUAUACUAUAUAUAAAAGCGUAUAGAAAUUUCGACAAUGACAGACGGAAUCUAAAAAGGAUUAAAUUAAUAUUCCCUACGAAUGAUUAGGAUUAAUUUGUUAAAAAUAUCUCAAAUAAAAACGAACGGUUAUGGUCAAUCUAUUAAAUCUCUACUAUAUCCGAAAAAGAAUAAAAUAAUAUUCCCUACGAAAUGGUUAUGAUUAAUUUGUUAAAAAAAUAUCUCAAAUAAGAAUAGUUAGGAUCAAUCUAUUAAAAAAUAGUUUUCCUAUCCAUCUAUAAAUUCAAUCCUACGAACGAUUAUAAUCAAUUUGUUAAAAAAUAUCGCUUAUGAUCAAUUUGUUAAAAAAUAAUAUUUUUUUCAUCUAUUUUAUAUUAAAAUUAAAAUUUGAGUUUAAAUUAUGAAUUAAAUUUAAUUUUCGAUAUCAAAUUUGAAUUAACAAUUAAUUUUUUUAUUAUAUUGGAUCAAAAUUAAAUUUUAAAUUUUAAAGUAAAUGUGAAUUAAAUUUUGAUGCUUUUAAUUUAAAACACAUAUUUAAAUUUGAUUCAUCAAAAAACAAGAAGUAUAUAAAAAUGUUUGAUGUAUAUAAAAAAUAGAACAUUGUAGGAUAUUGUAAAUAUUGUUUAAUAAAAUAUAACAUAUUAAUUUAUAAAUAUAAUUUUUAUUGUAAAAUUUUGGAUUUAUAUAAUAUACAAAUUUAUAUUAAUUUGAAAUAAAUUAUAAUAAUUAUUACGUGCAUUUGCACGUACAUUCAACUAGUAUUUAUUAAAGUAAUAAAUCAAGCAGUUAAUUAUUUAUCUAGUUAACUAUUAAAUUAAUCAAUAUAUUAAUAUAUUAAAGGGUUAUUGUAGGAUAGCCCGUUAAGAGAGGCUAUAAUUCUUUUUUUUGUUUUUUUGCGGGGCUCUUAUUCUUCUUAUUUUACUCCUUGUCGCGAACCGAACAAUGACUUGGUAUCUAUUAUCCAGGUUGAGAGACUUUUGAAGAAUACAAUUUUUUGGAGUUACAAAAAGUAAGUGGUCAUAAAUUAUAACAAUUAAAAGCUAAUUGAAAGGUUAAGAGCUAUAGAAAUGUAAAUACAUAAAUUAUGAGAUUUGGAAAUUGAAAUGGUAUAGGCUAUAGAAGGUCACCAGGAAUGUAUAGAAUAUAAAAAGAUGUAACUCCUUGAGACAAAUAGUGGUCAGUGACUAAAAAAUAAUUUUACUAAUAAAAUGUUUCAACAGAUAUUAAUGCAGUUUGUUUUUGUUUCAGCUUCAAAGCUUCAGAUUGAAGCAGCAAGCUAGCAACUUGUAGUUUUCUAUUUUUGUUUCACGGUAAUGAACUGUUGGUAAACAGGAUAAUAAAGUGAUGAUAAUUAAUUUUGCAAACCACAUGGCAUAUUUUAUUAUUUUAUAAUCUGUAUUUUAUCACUUAUAAUUUGCGAAACGUAUCACUUUUCUACUCUUUUUAACGGUAGUUCUUUCUGGUAAAAUAAAAAUAAAACCACAAGAAAAUUAAAUGCAAGUGCUUGAAUUUCCAGCUUGGUGAAAAGAAAAUGCGCUAGAUCACACGGAUCUAAUUGAAGUUUAUCUUGAAAAGAAUAAAAAAUUUAUUUGCAAUUUUUUAUUUUUUAUUUUUUGUUGUCAAACAAGCAUCUUGGAUGCAAGGAUUGCAAGCAAUCUACAUUCAUUCCUACACUAAUUUAUGUAGAAAUUUUAUUUAACAAAACAAAAAUCUGACAAUAAGGCCACAUAAUGUCCUCCUGUUCUAUUAAUAUGUUUAUUUUUCUUCCCAUAGUUGGUCGGCUAUAUAUUGGGAAUUCGAUACUCGUUUUGAUACUAGAUUUUGGGCUCUGAUAUCGACCGUUAUAAAUCCGGUACUCGCUUUGGUAUUGGUUGUUAGGAUUCUGCAACGAAAGCUUCCAAUCAGAUUUUUACUAUAAAUCCGUUUUCUCGGAAAAAACUGAUACAAUACGAAGAGAGAAAAAAAAUUACAAAAAAUACAGAUGAAUUAAAUUUAGUAAUUAAGAGAAUAAUUAUACCUGAUUUAUCUUCUACACAUGGUAAUCUUAAUCCAAACCCUCUUUUUGAAUCUAUCUCAUUUCUCUAUCUUCUUCUGCCUAAAAGACUAUACUCUGUUAUGCACCACGUACCAGGCACAUACAAACUCUUUUUUCUCUCAAUCCAUUCGUACACCAGGUGCAAUAAAUCAUGGCCAAAGCGUAGGCUACAAUGUACCCCAAUUUAGUAUAAUUUAGUAUAUUACUCUAAUUAAUAUUUAAAUUUUAAUCAAUUUAAUUUCAAUAGAUUUAAAUAUUUGUCACAAUCUAACUAAAAUUUCACUACAAAUUCAACUAAAUUCUAACGCUAUAAUCAUGCAAUUAGUGGCAUUAAGUGUAAGAAGUUAGUUUAAAGUGACCCUGUAGUGGAUCAGUCUACAGAGCAGCAUGCAACCACUCAAAUUUGUUUCGUUGAUGGGAGUAAAAUGUGUAGCGAGUUCGGAGAAAAUACAUGUUGAAUGGAGUUUUCUUAGCAAGUUAAUUUCGAACUAAACAUUUGCUUAUUCCACGUCUCUUUUUUGCCUCUAUGAAGUAAGGUAUGGAGGUAUUAAUCACUACUGAGUCAGUAAGGCAUCAUCGAUCUACUAAACUUGCAGAGAAGUUAAGAAUCUCAUUUCAGCACAAACUAAUUUAUUUGUUUCCAGAAGUGAUACAUAGAAGCCAAUCGUAACUUUCUGGCACUAAGAUUGUCAAUCCAGUUUCUUUUAUUCCUAUAUAUUACAAUUUAAAGAGGAAGAAGAAGAAGAAGAAGAAGAAAAGGAAGAAGAUCAAAUAUAUUUAACUGUGUUCGAAAGAGAGAAAUUUGGGGAGUCUAUGUUUGAGCCGGAAUCGGAAUAUUUCGGCGGUGCUGGUGCUGAUGAUCAAACCGCUAUGUUUGGGCCCGAAACCGAACGUACCGUCGACAGUGCUGCUCCGAUCACCAAAGAAAGAGAAGAAGAAGAAGAAGAAGAAGAUCAUCAAACUGUGUUUGGGCUGGAAUGGGAACGAAUGGACGACGAGUUGCUCGACGCAUUGCGGCGGGGGGACGAGAGAUUCGUCAGAAUAUUAUUCUCGCCCGCGACGUCAGAAGCUUCCGUAGCCGCAGGUCACGCCUUCGCCAUUGAUCUUCCUGACGCUAACAAUGUCACCGACCGUUCCUGGAUGAAGCGACAAAAAGCUUGGUGGUUGGUACCCAAGGUUCUAAGUUCGAAUCCUAAUUGAUUCACAUUUCUACCUAAGUUUAUUUCUAAAUGAAAUAAAUAAAGCGGAUAACGUGCUACCUAUCUCAUAAAAAAAAAAAAAAAAAGCAGCUUUCUGGUGUCUUCUUUUUUAAGGGUAAUAUCCUUCCAAAAUUUAUUUUUGAAUAAUCAAAAGUAUUUUAUUAGUUUCAUACUAAAACUGGAUUUUAAAAGGGUAUUUUGAGUAGUGAGUGGUAAAUCUGAAAAUUUUUAAUUAUAGUAAGGAGGAGUAAAUAAGCAAAAGUAUCUAGUUUAAAUAUUAUUUUAAUUUUUUUCUUAGAAAACAGUACAGAACUUAUUUUAAUUUACCUAUUCAACCUUUUAAAAUUUUGAUUUUAUAAUCUAACCUUUCAAUUUGUUUGAUUUGUUUCGUUUAUCUUUAUAAAUUUAGUUAAUAUAUUCAUGCAAUUUUUACUAUUAUAAAUUUAUAAUAGCAAGUUAUUAGCUUAAACUUUAAAAUCAAAGUAUUAUUGACUGAUUCAAACUAAACAAAUUGAAAGAUUUAAAUAAUAUGAUCAAAAUUUUGAAAUGUUGGAGAGUUAAAUUAAAAAAUUCUGCUUUCCAAGUAAGUUCUAUACGUCUUUACCUUUUAUUUCUGUCCCCUUAAUUUUCAGAGAAAUGAUAAUGCCUUGUUUGAUAAAAUUACUAUGUUAUUUAUUUUCUUAAACACUAAUUCUACACAAUUUGAUGUGUUGGAAGAAAGAUUUUUUCUUUUUAUUAUUGUUAUAGCCGGUUAGCGUAUAAUGCAAUCAAUCAAGUGGUCGAUGACUACGUACUUAAAAACAGAAUUAAGAGCAGAAAAAACUUGUUUUUAAAUCAUAGAUCCUUAAAAGAGGUAAAAAAGAAACAAAGAAACAUCUCAAUCAACAUAUUGAGAGAAUUUUUUGCAUUUUAGUGUUAAAAGAAAUUAAGAUUAUAAUUCACUAGACAACUUUUGAUUGGCCAACAUAUGGAUAGCUAGAAACAUCUCGUGAGAACAACUCUCUGUAUCUCUUGUUUAUUUAUAUAUAAUUAACCUUUUUAUUUUUUUGUUUAAAUUGCUCACCUGUAGUUCAUAUAUAUGAACAUCAAUGAUAGACAUCGCAGAAAAACUACUGCAGUGGAAACCAACACUUGCAAAGAAAGUUGACAAUUCAAGAAGCACUCCCCUUCACUAUUUAGCGACGACCUCAAACACUUAUACGGUGUGUCGAUUAUUGAGCUAUGACACUUUUCCUGCUUACUUCUAAGACUACGAAGGUUUCUAUCCGAUACAUAGUGCUGCGAGAAUGGAGAGAUGCGGCGUAAUUCACAAGCUUAUUAACCGUUGUCGUGAUAUGGACGAGUUAGUAGAUAACCAAGGAAGGAAUGUUCUUCAUAUUGCUGUACAGGACAAUAGACCGACGGUCGUUAAGUAUGUUUGUCGGCAUCGAAAGCUUGAGAGAAUGAUGAAUGCAAGGGAUAAUCGAGGGAAUACGCCGCUACAUCUUGCUGUAUCUUCGCAUAACCAAAAAAUAGUGAGCCUAUUAGUGGAAAAUGGAAGUGUACAUCCCAGUAUCAAGAACAAGUGUGGACGAACUCCUCUAGAUCUUGCGAUAAUUGAGAUCGACUAUGGCUUAAUCUCAAUACAGGUAAACAAAAAUUCCUGCUUUAACAUUCUUUAUAGAAAUAUUGAAAUUCAGAAUGCAAAUAAAUAGACAAAUUGGAUACAUUCACACAUAUAUAAAUAAAUAUCGAAUACUACUAUAUAUAUGUAAAAUAUGUGCAUAUAUUGAUUUCAAUGUAAUUCUACUAUAGAUUUUAGAAUAGGAACGCUUGUUUUGCCAUUCCAAUUCGCUAGUAAUCCACAAAUCAUAUCGUACAUUCACAAUUCGCAAUUCAAAAGGGUGGUUAGCGAAUUAGGUAGCCGUCGAUGAGAGGAUAUGUGAACAGUAGUGCAGCCAGUACUUGCUAAUUGAUCCUUCUAAUGCGCUUUUCUUCUUAACUUCCAGAACCCGCAAGUCUGGAUUUUCCACUGCUUACAACAGAUUGGUGCCAUCUGCGGCCCUCAACGACUGGAUCGCUUAAUAUAUGAAAACAUCACCGUACCAAAUCUCGAGAACGAACUAAAGAAGUACGAGAGCACAGCUCAAAAUCUAGUAAUUGUCUCAGUGCUUAUCGCCACCGUGACAUUCGCUGCAGAUUUCACCAUGCCUGGGGGUAACAUAGCCGACGACCACCAAAACGGAGGCACGCCAACUCUAGCAAGAAAAUUUGCUUUCAAGGCCUUCAUAGUCGCAGAUUUCGUCGCGUUUCUUUGCUCCAUUAUGGCUACAAUUUGGCUCAUGUAUGCUGGCUCACUUGCCAUACAUCCUUCUCGUCAGGCAAAACUCAUUCUGCGGUCCGAAAACUUCAUAUACGUAGCGGCGCAAAGUAUGAUGGCGACAUUCGCAUUGUCCGCGUACUUGGUGCUGGCCCCAGUUAACAUUCUCGUCGCCCUUGCUGUCUGCGUAUUCGCUUUUCCUUCGGUCUUAUUAUGCAAUCCAGAAUUUCGGCAGCGGUUUCGUCUCGCAGUGACGCUAAAGAGAAGACUAGGAUGGUCGGCGAUGUGCGAAGCCCGAUUAAUAGGGCGACCUUUCGGACUUGCUACGAAGAGUUUUAACUGGUUCAUCUUCCGGCCGAUAGUGUGUUAUUUGCUAGUAUAUAUAUUCAUCUUUGGGGUAUCAUCAGUUCUUUCCAUCAAGCAUUUGCAUUUUACCUUAAAGCGGGCACAAUCUUUCAUUAUUAUCAUUCCAAGGACAAGCUUUUUAAUUUACACUAGUCACGUCACCCUUUUUUUUUUUUCUUAAUUCUAAAAAAUUAAAAAGGAUGGUCUAAACCCUUCGAUGAUUGGACGUAAAAAUUACACCCAAAAAAUUAGGUGUGCAUUAGUAUAUUUGAAAAUUAUUUCGAGUUAUCUUUGUACUUUUAAGCCUCCGUUUGGUUCGGGAUUAAGGAAAAAGUUCCUAUUCCAGAGAUAAAAUUAAGUUCAAGGUUAAAGAGGGGUUAAAGUUUUUUUUUGUUUGGUUGAAGGUUGGAGUUAGUCUAGAAUAAUGAAAAAUAGUGUUUAGUUGGAGUAGGUGAGAUAAAAAGAUAAUGAUUGAUAAAGAAGGAUAGUGAUUGAUUGGAGUAAGUGUGAUAAGAAAAAUAGUGGGUUAUUAAGAAUAGAAAAUAGUGUUUGGUUGGAGUUUGGUGGGGUUAGCUAACCCGUGAUAAUUUAUUUGAGGUGAGGUUAGCUAACCCCAUUCAUUGUUUGGAAUGUUUGGGGAUAAAAUGGGGGUUAAGGAGUUAUUCCAUCCCUUAACCUCCAACCAAACAAGGGCUAAUAAGAGAAUACUCCUUGUGGAGCCUUAUUCACAGUCUUAAUGUGUUUGAGUCAAUCAUUAAAGCUUGGAUUAGGUUAAUGUAUGAUGAGUGAAUAUUCGUAAGUAUUUUCUUAUUUAACUUACUUCUUCGUGGAUUCUUGAUUUUUUUUUUUUUUUGGUCUACAUAUGAAUGGGUGUAUUAUGAUCAGUUAUGCCAAUUAUAAUUAGGAAGUAAAAAUUGAUAAGAUAACGGACUGUACCUAGCGCAAGUGGCAAAGAGUUUGGUAAUUGGUAUCCGAGGUUUCAAAUUCGAAUCCUAAUUGAUUCACAUUUUCAACUAAGUUUAUUUCUAAAUAAAUAAGUAAAGCGGGUAGUAUACUAACUAUCUCUAAAAAAAAAAAAAUUGAUAAGAUGGUAGGCCUUGUUUGGCAAUUACAGGGAGUAAGGAUGUCAAUGGAUAUGAAUACCUAAAAUUUUAUCCGAACAUGAAUCUGAAUGGAGUAGAUUUAUCCGAUGCUAACCAGAUCGGAUAUGGAUAUCAAAAUUGAAAACCUGACAGAUUUGGAUUCGGGUAUGAAUUUUAAUUGUAUCCGACCUGAACCCGAAUCCGACCCGAAUCUGAAAUUAUUUAACAUUGUAUAUAUAGAAGUGUUUGAUAUUAUAUUUGAAUUUGUAUUUUAAAAAUUUAGAUUUAAUGUAAUAUAUUUUGAAAUAUUGUAAAGAGAAAUAAUUAUUUCGGGUUUGGAUUUUCAGGUUCCGGCUCGGGUUUCGAAUUUUUGAUUGGGUUCGCGUUUGGAUAUGAAUUUUUAAAAUCCGUCAUAUUCAUAUUUCAGAUUUGGUAUAGUCGGAUUCGGGUUCAAGGUUUUGAAAAUUAGCCCCGAAUCUGAGCCGUUGAUAUUCCUUCUGUUGUAAAAUUUUGGUUUUUAAUAGUUCGGUGCUGUAAUAAGUGUUUGAUUGAUUCCGUCCUAAAAAUAAUGUCUCUUGUAGAAAAUUAAUUGGCCUGCAAAGUGCGUUACGGAAAAUAUUAAUAUGUAUGGAGAGCACUCAACUAUAUAUAACCCAAGGCCCCUUAACCCUUUUUAAUUAAUACUUCCUUAAUUUAUGAUAUUUUGAAUUAAAUAAUUUUAGUCAAAUAAUUUAAUUUUAUAAAAUUAUUUAAUUGUUUGACUAAAAUUACUCAAUUUUAAGAAAUCAAAAGUUAAAAAAAUUACAAGAAAAAAAAAUAAAAUUGCUUGAGCCUCUUCUAAAAGAAAAUUGCUAUCUGUACACCAGAAAGUGGGAAUUAAAUAUUAAACCUUCCCAUUAAGGAUUUGGAAAAUUAUAUUUUAAUAUUAGAAAAUAAAGAGUAAUUAAACUAGUGUAAAACAAUUGACCUUGAAUGAUAAGUGUGUAAAUUUUACCGACUCCUUUGGACGUACAAGUAGUGUACGUGAUUGGAAAAUAAAUGGGAUGACUCAUUCAUAUUCCGGAUUGGAAUGAGAAUCAAAAUCCGAUUCUCCUAAAACUAACAACGGACGAAUAUCGAAAUCAAUGAAUCUCAUUUAAUUUUAGGAUCUAAAAUAUGUGAAUCAAACAACAAGCUGUUAUUGUCAAUUAAAGAAUUGAUGAGGAAGUGCAUUAAAUAGAAAAUACUGACCUAUAUAUGGUUGUGAAAAGUAUAUCAACGGCAUGGCUCACAUUACAUCCUAGCUAGCUCCACGGAGCUGGGGACAUACCUAACAUAGGCUGUUUAAAAGAUCUUCUGGGUAAUUAAUAAACGUAAGAUCCCCACAUACAAGAGCUUAAUUAAUUAUAAUUGACUCAAACCCAUAAUCAGGACCCUAAUAAAAUAGACCCAAACAUGCAAGGACUCUUACAUAAAAGAACAACAAUAACAAGCAAAACAAGCAGCUAACAUUAAAAAAAGACACUGACCGUCCCUAGAGCAAGUGGCAAAGGGCUUGGUGGUUGGUAUCCGAGACCCAAGUUUGAAUCCUAGUUGAUUCACAUUUCCAGCUAAGUUUAUUUCUAAAUGAAAUAAACAAAGCGGGUAGCGUGUUACCUAUCUCUUAAAAAAAAAAAAAAAAAAAAACAUUAAAAAAAGACCCUGGGAUUGCGGUUCACAGGCUCAAACUUCUUGUGAUGGAUUGGGACCUUCUUCUCGGGCCAUAAACAUCUGUAAGUAAUUGUGUGUGUGUGCGCGCGCGCGUGCGUUUUUUUUUUUUUUUUUUUUUUUUUUUUUUUUUUUUUUUUUUUUUUUUUUUUUUUUUUNUCAAAAAAAAAAAAAAAAAAAAAAAAAACACUAAAAAAAGACUAAACGCGAUAUACAAGAGUGAUGGAAUCGCCACUACAAGCGGCACUAGAAAGAUAAUGAUAUACGUCAGUAAAUAUUGCGCAUAGAUCGUGCCACACCGACUUUGCACAUCCUCCACCAUCCAAGUCUUGACCUUAGCACGCUUGCCAGACGAAAUUGCUGCGAUAUCCGUGGGCUUGCAAACAAUAGUAUCAAAGGGAAAGCGAAUAUGCAGGCAAGAAUGGAGAAGGGUUUGUCAACUGGAGCCAGCACCACAUACACCGACAUCACGAAUGCGGUCACCAUACUAUGUGCGGCCACAUUUAGGAAAAUGGAGGAGCGGAUGAGGAAUGCACUCCGAAUAGUAGGAUCUGUCGUAGGUGAGCCAGCAUACAUAAGCAACAUAGUGGCUAUGCUGGAGCAAAUAAAUGCUAAGAAGUCCGAGAUUAUGAAAGCCUUGAAAGCAAAUUUCCUUGCUAAAGUUGGUGUGCCACCGUUUUGGUGGUCGUCAGCUUUAUUGCCCCCCGGCAUGGUGAAAGCUGCGGCGAAUGUCACAGUAGCGAUAAGCACCGAGGCAAUAGCUAGGCUUUGGGUUGUGCUCUCGUACUUCUUCAGUUCUUUCUCCGGAUCUAAUCGAGUCUUUUUUUCAUCGACCAACUUGUCCAGUCGUCGUUGAGGGCCACAGAUGGCUCCGAUCCCUUGUAAGCACCGAAAUAUGAACACACUCGGGUUCUGGAAGAAGAAGAAGAAUUGAACAUGAAAUAUAUAUAUAUAUUUAAAGACCAAUUAAUAGGGUAUUGAAAAAUCCACAUUACCGGAGGAUGUUGGAAAGAGAUCAACUUAGUUAUGUUAUUCCUAUGUAUGCUUUUAUUAAUUAGGAUAAAUUUGAUUAUUUUGAACUUUAUCAUUUUAUUGGACUUUGUUCUUACAUAUCCUGUAAUUAAUAAGGGCAGAGAUGACGAGGGGCAAAGAAAAAAGAACAAGAGAAAUGGGAGAGAAAUAAAAUAAGGGUAUUCUGAUCAAUUUAUGAAAAUUUCAGUUCUAAUCUUCAAAAUCCAAAAAAAAAAGAGUCAUAUUUUUGCAAAAAUGCAAAACCAGUAAUUUUUUAUGCAAAUUAGCCAAUUAAAUACAAUAAUUAAAUUUGAAAUUAAAUAAAAAUUCGGUAUCGUAUAUGCUUAAUCUCAUGACAUUAUAAAUUUGAAUUAAUGCAAAAAAUUUAAGCAAUGAAGAUUUAAAUUUUGAAUUACACGUACUAUGUUUUAUAUGUUUUUAAGUAGAGUCAUAUGAAAACCAGAAUUAUCAUCUAUUCUUUAUCUCAUGACACUAUAAAUUCUGAAUUAAUAACAAAAUUUAUGUUAUGAAGUUUUCAAUUUUGUUAUUAUUCUAAAUUUCGGAUUUUGAGCAAAAUCAUCUACACUUUCGAAUUAUCUAUUUUAUUUCAUCAAAUUGUAAAUGUUGAAUUAUAUGGAUUUAAUGUAUUUUCUACUUUAUCUAUAUCAAAUUACUAUAAACCAACUGAAAGAAAAUUGAAUUAAAUGACUAAAAUUUGAAUGGAUAAGUUCAAUAUUCUCAUGCAAGGAAAACCUUAGGUUGGGAGCUCUCCAAAGAUGCCGCGUUAAGAAGAGCUAAUCUAUCGUCACAUGUCACUUUAUCUCUAUUAAAAUAUUAUAAUUUUUUCUCCUAAGGCUUUAAUUUUUUUGAAUUUUAGUAUUGAAAAAUAUCCAACAAACAAUUGAAUAAAAGCAAAACUAAUAUGUGACAGUAAAUCAAAUGUAAUUUUCCAACGAGUCAUUGUUAGUAAGCUCCCCACUGAAGUUUUGUUGCUCGGGAACCCUAUUACUGGAUAACAUCACCAAUACCAAAAUAAGGCUUCAUGUGAUGCAAGACCCUAGUGCAAGUUGCUCCCAAAGAUCAAUAAGCAAUGAAUUUUAAUUUAAAUUUGCUUCAAUAUAUAUGUGUGUGUGGGCUACUAUUUUUUUUUUUUUUUUGUAGUAUAUACUAUUAACUUUUGGGUCUUUGGAUCCAUACCUUUUACUUGUUGGUGGUAAUAAUAAUAACAAUCUAACAGUCCAAAAGUUACAAAUGAUGCUUCCGAAAAAAUAGUAACUCAAUUCUCUCUCUCUCUCAUAUAUAUAUAUAUAUAUAUAUAUAUACNUUAUUUUUGAUGAUAGAGUUUUUGAAUCGACGAUCCAUACAAUUAAACAUUAUUUAAAGCAUUUAAAAUUUCUAGAAAUCAAAUUUUAUAAUUUUUCGACAUCAUUUACCUUACGAUAUAAAGAUCACAAAAUUGACAAUUUUUAACGGCCGGUAUGAGAUACUUGCUAGUUUAGCAGUACAAAAAAAUUAAAAUAGGUUGAAUUUUUGAUAAAAAAUUCUAUUCAUUAUAUAAAUAAAGAUCAAUAACUCCAAUCUUAAAUUGAAGGAUUCGAUCUGUAGUAUCCUUAGUUUUUGGGUAGCAUGUAAGAUUUCAGCAUCUGAGGUUUGUCGACACAUCUAGAGAGUGUUGGGACAAGUCGGAGUCGUUUUGGCGCGAAAUAGACGCAAAACGGACUCAGUGCGACGCGAGAGCAGAGUUUUAAUAUUGGAAUCUGCAAAGUGCAGGUUUUCAGUAUUUAGUACCGGUACCCCAGUGUACUUCCAAUCAGACUGUUCUCGGGUUGCGCCAAUUUGAUGCUGAGUACCGGUGCGGCAUCGGGCUAGUACCGGUACCCUAUGUGCGAGCUUGCGAGUUGAGAGGCCAUUUGAGUUGGUAGAGGAUAUUGUAGUCUUGUGGAGAUGGUAAAGUGUAGAGUUGUCCUUUGGUUGGUGGAUAAGGAUUCCACCUACCCCAUGCUUAUCAACUCAAUUUAUGAAUACACAUAUCAACCCAAUUUACCUGAGGGUGUGCACUUUUCUAUUUCUUUCUCUCUCUCUCUCUAGUUAAUUAUAUGCUUGGUGGAGGCCACGACGGCUUGAGCUCGGAUCGACGUUGACAUUGCGCCGGAGAGCCGUUCGAGCGUGUGGACGUCGCAGUUGCACCGUUGGAGGCCGGGCGAGCGUGUGUUUUUCUUUCUCUCGACUUCUCGCCGUGGUUGGAUUAGCGUUUCGAGGUGGGUUGGAGUUUACCGAAAUCAUUGAAAUAUCUUCUAAGUUUUAGCAUAUGUCGACAUGUAUCAUUCGUUUAUUUUCUUACUAGUACUCGAAUUCAUGGAUUAGUGUUUAAAUCUGAAUUUGGAGUUAAGCCAGUAAUUUAAUUUUACAUGUUGGAUUUAAAAUUGAUUUAGGAGAAAACAUAUAGAUUCUACACUGUCACUUUCUGAAAAAUUACCAGAUUUAGCUUUUGAAGCUGUUGCGCCUUGUAUCCACGCUGUUAGUGCGCAUUUGAUAUUUGGAUAGCUUCUGAAACUGUUGUACUUUGUAUCUACGCUGUUAGUGCGCAUUUGAUACUCGGAUACCUUUAAGCGCUGUGAUUCAUUUGUAUCGCUGCUGUUUGUAUGCGGUGGGUUCCCAGAUUAGUGUAGGAUGAGUUUACGCUCGUGCUGGGAUGCCGAGCUUAUUUUACAGCUGUGUGUAGACUGUUUCGGAUUGUCGGAUGCCGUUGCGGUUGACGGUGGACCCAGUUUGCUAUUUUUGCAUCAGAUUGUGCCGAGGGUACGUGAGUUUUGGUGGUUAAACCAGUUAGACCCAUUUGCUUUGAUUAUAGCCUGUGAGAGUCUGAUUGAGCUCGAUAGAGACACGCUUACAUACUUGAUUGGGUAGCGCCCACGAGUGCCACUCCGGAUGUGGGCUUUGUGCGUUUGCGUAAAUGUCGUAGUGUCUAGUGUGGACUUGCUCUUCACCAAUUACUCAGCGUUGUGGUGGUUGGUGUAGCUUCGGCAGGCGGGACGGGUGCGUUCACAGUCCCUAGUGAGAUUGGGUCAGAGAUUGAUUUUUCUUUCCCUACAGAUAGUUAGUAUUGGAUCAUGAUAGUAUAGUGGCAUAUAGUUGUUGAUUGUUUCCAGUUCUUUUACUAUCAUUGAGCAUACUUUCUGUAAACUUAUUGGGUGAGUCGUUGACACUACAAAAAAAUGUGCCUAUGCCGACGCUUUUAUGCCGACGCUUUUUAAAAGCGUCGGCAAUUUUCUCUACUGUUAAAAUUUUACCGACGCUAGGGUUUAGCGUCGCUAUUUAUAACGCGAGAAACCAAAAAGAGCUUACUAAUUAAUUAUUAUUAAAAUCGAUGUGCCCCUUUUUUGUUAGGCUUUUCAUCAUCUCCCUCAUCUCUCUCCCGCUCAACCCCUUCUCAACACGUCUCUCCUCCGAAACAAGGGUUUGCCCGCCUCUCCUGAAUACAUGCCUUCCUCGCCUCGUUGUUGCCACCGUGUCCCUCCAGGUCGGCGCACCGCCUUCUAAACCCUUCUCCACCUCGCCGCGACUUCGCUUUCCCUUUUAUUUUCAAGGCAACAACUCGCCGGUCUCCAGCGGCGAAGGAGGAAGGCAAGCAGGGAGGAGGAUUUUGACGUCGACGUCUCGAGAAGAAUCCCUUUGUUUUCUGGUUUGUUUUUAUUUUAUCCAUUAUUUUUGGUUCUAAGUUUAAAUCCCAAGUUUGGGAGGCAUGAAGAAUGCACGAUUCAACCAAUUCCUUGGAAUUGGAUGGUAGGUUAGGAGUUUUUCCUGUGAGAUGUAAAUUUUAAUUUGUGUUUGAGUUUAGAUUUAGAGGAGAGGAAUGCAUUUUGAAAAUUUUAGAGUUCCUCUGUAUAGCUAUGGUUGGAGAGAAUAUUUUGAUGAAAAAUUUUAGCAACAGGAUCAAGUGGUGUAGUAGCGGUACCCACUAAGAACUAUUUCUUUUUGCAGUAGUUCUCACACCCAGUUGUUGACCCCUUUUUGCAGAGCCUUCGUCCGCGGCUGCUGUUGUUGCUGUUUUGGAUCGUGGAAAGGGAGUCGCGAAGUAGAUCCCUUCCUGUUUUAUUGUCGUGCUAGAGGAGUACCACCCACAGAUAAUUUUUUGGGUAUUUAUGUACAUAUUGUUGUUGUCUGGGCACUCGCUGGAGCGAGUGGUGUAGUAGACAUGUUGUAUGUACUGGAACCCCUCGAGGUUUUAUUUAUAUAUAUUCAGUUCAGUUUAGUAGCUCUUUACCUUGUGCUUGUAGCUUAAAAUUAUUUACAAGUACAGCUAUCGCUUCGUCAGGAAAAAUUUCUAUGUAUACGGCGGGUCUGUUGGCGCGGCCGGAGAACGUGUAAUCCGGGGCGUAAUAAAUUAAGUUGGUAUCAGAGCUUAGAAUUAGGUAGUUGGGACCUAGGAACCCUAAGUUUGGCAAACCUUAAGAAGGCAAGACGCGAGAGGCGUGAUUUAUUGCAAAAGUCAGCGAUUGAAUUGUUCUAAUUCCUCCUAGAGUGGAGUGAGUGAUUGAAGAAGUGUCUGUUUCGGCCAAGAAAAUUAUAUCAGCUGCAGACGACAUAAUUUUGAGGAGAAACAGGGGCAGCCUUCUAAACUUUCACUUGAUUGGAUCGAGAGUUGAUUGUGUUUUGUAUCUAACCCUUGUUUUGAUUACAGAUAGCCAUGUAUCGACACCGAGGUCGACCGUCGACGCGGGACCGUUCCGCACUAGCUGAGAUGCCAAAGCAAGCGGUACCGAUUACUCUCAUGGAUUUGAGAGAACAGUUGGCUUCCUUGACAGAGGUGAUCAAGCAGCAGGGUGUGCUAUUGCAGAGGAUAUGUGAGACUGUCACUCAGCGGUCGGGUAUUGAGCCAUGAGCAUCCGUGCAUCAGGCACUAUGGGUGGAGCAAGGAGNCUUGAUUGGAUCGAGAGUUGAUUGUGUUUUGUAUCUAACCCUUGUUUUGAUUACAGAUAGCCAUGUAUCGACACCGAGGUCGACCGUCGACGCGGAAGCGCUCGGUUCCAGAUGGCGGGGGACAGACCAGCAGUAAACGUCCGCCGAGGCCUCCACGAUCACACUCUCAGGGUCGUCAGUUCUCGGGGCGACAGUGGUCUGGUGCGUCUCAUCCGCAUUAACAGCAACAAAGGACUCCGCAGUGCAUUAUUUGUGGUGGACCACACUGGCCUCGACAGUGCGAGUAGAGAGAGGGCAAGUGCUAUGGAUGUGGACAGCCUGGACAUAUAAAGGCGGCUUGUCCUCGAGCAACAUUACCAGCGCCAUCAACGGCGUCAGCACAGCUGGCACCUCAGCAGUCUCAUAGAGCAUCACCAAGUUACCGCCAGGAUGACAGAGUAUUUGUGCCGCGGCAGAAUGAGCGGCGACAGCAGGCCUCGAGUGAUAGAGUAUAUGCAGCUCAGGUGGGAAACUCUACAGCAGCCGAUCGGGUGGUGGCCGAUAUCAUUUUGAUUUCUGGUAUUAGAGUUCGUACCCUUUUGAUACCGGUGCAUCACAUUCUUUUGUUAGCCGAGCAUUUGUGUCACUGCAUGGUCUAGAGGUAGGGCUGUUGUUGCAUGCGCGAGAGGUGCAGAUUUUCGACCAUAUUUUGCAGGUAGCAGAGUGUUGUUGGUCGUGUCCGGUGCAGUUAGAUUCUUGGAUUAUACCCGCAAACCUGUUGGUCUUAGGGCAACUGCAGGACUUUGACGUUGUACUUGGCAUGGAUUGGCUGGCACGGUACUAUACUACUAUUGACUGUGGAACGAGGACAGUGACGUUCUGCGAGCCAAGCCAGAAGGAGUUUAUGUACAGGAGCUGCCGAAGUACGUUGUUUGCCACUUGGAUCUCGUCUGCGAGGGCUAGGCAGUUGUUGAGUAGAGGAUGCAUCGCUUUUCUGGUGACGGUGGUAGAGGUGCCUACAGCGGCGCAGGGACUCGGGGAUAUUCCUAUAGUUCGCGAGUUUCCGGAUGUGUUUCCACCGGAGUUGACGACUAUGCCGCCGGACCGAGAGAUUGAGUUUGUGAUUGACGUAGUUCCUGAAACUACGCCAAUUUCGAAGGCACCCUAUAGGAUGGCACCGGCGGAGCUGAGAGAGCUAAAAACGGAGGUUUAGGAUCUGAUGGAUAAAGGGUAUGUGAGACCCAGUGUAUCGCCUUGGGGAGCACCGGUGUUAUUCAUGAAGAAGAUGGAUAGUUAACUUAGACUGUGUGUGGAUUAUCGGGAGCUGAAUAAAGUGACCAUCAAGAACAAGUAUCCUUUGCCGCGUAUUGAUGAUCUGUUUGAUCAGCUACAAGGAUCUUGUGUCUUUUCGAAGAUUGAUCUUUAGUCAAGUUACCACCAGUUGAGGGUAAGGGCCGAGGAUGUUCCCAAAACGAUUUUUAGGACUCGGUACGGGUAUUAUAAGUUUACUGUGAUGCCUUUUGGAUUAACAAAUGUCUCUGCCGCAUUUAUGGAUUUGCUGAAUCGAGUGUUCAAGCCGUUCUUGGAUAGAUUUGUAGUUGUAUUCAUUAAUGAUAUUUUGAUAUACUCCCGGAGUGAUACUGAGCAUCAGGAGCACUUGAGGAUUGUGCUACAACUUCUGAGGGAGAAGAAGUUGUAUGCUAAGCUGAAGAAGUGUGAGUUCUGGCUUCGGGAGGUUUCUUUCUUGAGCCAUGUGAUUUCUGCGGGUGGAGUAGUAGUGGACCCGAAGAAGAUUGAUGCUAUUCGGGAUUGGCCUCGACCGAAGACGGCGACUGAGGUGAGGAGUUUCCUUGGACUAGCUGGAUAUUAUCGUCGAUUUGUGGAAGGCUUUGCGAAGCUUUCCAUACCCCUCACUUGAUUGACUCGAAAGGGAAUUAAGUUUAUUUGGAGUGAGGAUUAUCAGAGGAGCUUCGAUGAGUUGAGACAGAGGUUGAUGUUAGCUCCUAUCCUUGCCCUUCCAGUUAUGGAGGAAGGAUUUGUGAUUUACAGUGAUGCAUCGCACAACGGAUUAGGUUGUGUGUUGAUGCAGUAUUAUAGGGUAAUUGCUUAUACUUCACGGCAACUGAAGGAUUACGAGAAGAAUUACCCUACGUAUGACUGGGAGCUUGCUAUGGUGAUUUUUGCUUUGAAGCUACGGCGGCACUAUUUGUAUGGCGAGCACUGUGAGAUUUUCACGGAUCAUAAAAGUCUCAAGUAUCUGUUCACCCAAAAGGAGUUGAAUCUAAGGCAGCGCCGGUGGUUGGAGUUGUUGAAAGAUUAUAAUGUUAGUAUUCAGUAUCAUCCCAGUAAGACGAAUGUUGUGGCAGAUGCGUUGAGCAGGAAGUCAAUGCAGAGCUUGAACACGUUGAUUACUCAGUAGAGACCGUUAUUUGAGGAGCUACAGUGGUUGAGGCUCGAGGUAGUGUCCUCUGGGUCUACUACGAGACUGAUGUCUAUGGUAUUGCAGCCCACUCUGUUGGACAGGAUCAGAAAGAAACGGAGUGGAGACUCGCACUUGUUGAGGAUUCAAGAGCAGUUAGAGAGAGGACAGGCAGAGGCUUUUUCUGUAGACAAUUCGGGAGCACUGCGGUACAUGGACCGACUGUGUGUGCCUAUGGAUUCAGAGAUUCAAGAGGAGAUUUUGAGAGAGGCUCACUAUUCACCUUAUACGGUUCACCUCGAUGGAACCAAGAUAUAUAAGGAUUUAAAGGCACACUUUUGAUGGAAUGGAAUGAAAAGAAACAUUGGCAGAUUUGUGGCUCAAUGUCUAUCUUGCCAACAGAUAAAGGCAAAGCAUAAGGUACCUACUGGCAAGCUUUAGAGUCUGCCAGUGUCCAAGUAGAAAUUAGAGCAGAUCACGAUGGACUUUGUCGUGGGAUUACCGAGAGCAUAUGGUGGUUUUGAUGCUAUUUGGGUGAUAGUGAACAGACUGACUAAGUCUGCUCACUUCCUACUAGUACAGAUCACCUGGUCCAUGGAGAGACUCGCUCAGCUAUAUUUGGAUGAGAUCGCCAAAUUGUAUGGUGUGCCUACCUCGAUAGUAUCGGAUCGAGACCCUAGGUUUGUUUCACAUUUUUGGAGGAGUCUGCAGACGGCCUUAGGUACACAGCUACAUUUCAGCAUAGCAUUUCACCCACAGACAGAUGGUCAGUCAGAGCGGACCAUUCAGACUCUGGAGGACAUGCUGAGGGCAUGUGUUCUGAACUUUGAAGGAGAGUGGCAUCGACAUUUGAGACUGGUUGAGUUUGUGUACAACAACAACUAUCAAACGAGCAUUCAGAUGGCUCCGUUUGAGGCGUUGUAUGGACGCAGGUGUCGAUCCCUUUUGCAUUGGAGUGUUGUGGGUGAGAGGAAGACUCUGGGACCUCAGAUUCUGAUAGAGGCAGAGGAGAAGGUCAAGGUUGUGCGACGACACAUUUUAACAGCCCAGAGUCGACAGAGGAGCUACGCCGAUACUAGGAGACGAGAUUUAGAGUUCCAGAUUGGAGAUCAUGUGUUUCUGAAAGUCUCGCUGUCCAGAGGGAUAUGCAGAUUUGGAGUACGUGGAAAGCUCAGUCCAAGCUUUGUAGGCCUUUUUGAGGUAUUGAAGCGAGUUGGACCAGUAGUCUACAGGAUUGCUCUACCCCCACGACUGGGAGGUAUUCAUGAUGUUUUUCACGUCUCGGCGUUGAGGAGAUACGUGUUCGACCACCUCCCACGUGAUUGAUUUCACUCCGCUGGAGCUUGGCGAGGACUUGAGAUACGAGGAGCGACCGGUGCGAAUUCUGACUCGUGAGAUGAAAGAAUUGCGCAACCGGAUCAUUCCUUAUAUAAAAGUGCAGUGAAGUCAUCACGAUGAGUAUGAGGCGACGUGGGAGCCGGAGACGGUGAUGCGGGAAUUCUAUCCCUACUUGUUUGAGGCUCAGGUUUGCGAUAUGCUUUAAGUUUCGAGAACGAAACUUUUUGUAGUGAGGGAGAAUGUAGUAUCCUUAGUUUUUGGGUUGCCUGCAAGAUUUCAGCAUCUGAGGCUUGUCGACACAUCUGAAAAACAUCGGGACAAGUACGAGUCGUUUUGGCGUGAAAUAGACGCAAAACUGACUCAGUGCAACGCGAGAGCAGAGUUUUAACAUUGGAAUCUGCAAAGUGCAGGUUUUCAGUGUUGAGUACCGGUACCCCAGUGUAUUUCCAAACAGACUGCUCUCGGGUUGCGCCAAUUUGAAGCUGAGUACCAGUACGGCAUCGGGCUGGUACCGGUAUCCUGUGUGCGAGCUUGCGGGUUGAGAGGCCAUUUGAGUUAGUAGAGGAUAUUGUAGUCUUGUGGAGUUGGUAAAGAGUAGAGUUGUCCUUUGGUUGGUGGAUAAGGAUUCCACCUACCCCCCAUGCUUAUCAACUCAAUUUAUGAAUACACGUAUCAACCCAAUUUACCUGAGGGUGUUCACUUUUCCAUUUCUCUCUCUCUCUAGUUAAUUGUAUGCUUGGUAGAGACCACGACGGCUUGAGCUCGGAUCGACGUCGACGUUGCAUCGGAGAGCCGUUCGAGCGUGUGGACAUCGCGGUUGCGCCGUUGGAGGCCAGGCGAGCGUAUGUUUUUCCUUCUCUCGACUUCUCGCCAUGGUUGGAUUAGUGUUUCGAGGUGGGUUGAAUUUUACUGAAAUUAUUGGAAUAUCUUCAAAGUUUUAGCAUUUGUCGACAUAUAUCAUUCGUUUAUUUUCUUGUUAGUACUCGAAUUCAUGGAUUAGUGUUUAAAUCUGAAUUUGGAGUUAAGCUAGUAGUUUAAUUUUACAUGUUGGACUUGGAAUUGACUUAGGAGAAACAUAUAGAUCAUACACUGUCACUUUCUGAAAAAUUACCAGAUUUAGCUUCUGAAGCAGUUGCGCCUUGUAUCCACGCUGUUAGUGCGCAUUUGAUACUCGGAUAGCUUCUGAAACUAUUGUGCUUUGUAUCCACGUUGUCAGUGCGCAUUUGAUACUCGGAUAGCUUUAGGCGCUGCGGUUCAUUUUUGUAUCACCGCUGUUUGUAUGCGGUGGAUACCCAGAUUAGUGUAGGAUGAGUUUACGCUCAUGUUGGUAGCCGAGCUUAUUUUACAGUUGUGUGUAGACUGUUCCGGACUGUCGGAUGCUGUCGCGGUUGACGGUGAACCCAGUUUGCUAUUUUUGUAUCGGAUUGUGUCGAGGGCACGUGAGUUUUGGUGGUUAGACCAGUUAGACCCAUUUGCUUUGAUUAUAGCCUGUGAGAGCCUGAUUGAGCUCGGCAGAGACACACUUGCAUACUCGGUUGGGUAGCGCCCACGAGUGCCACUCCGGAGUUGGGCUUUGUGCGUUUGCGUAGAUGUCGUAGUGUCCAGUGUGGACUUCCUCUUCACCAAUUACCGAGCGUGGUGGUGGUUGGUGUAGCUUCGGCAGGCGGCACGGGUCCCUAAUGAGAUUGGGUCAGAGAUUGAUUUUUCUUUUCCUACAGAUAGUUAGUGUUGGAUCAUUAUAGUAUAGUGGCAUAUAGCUGUUGAUUGUCUUCAGUUCCUUUACUAUCAUUGAGCAUACUUUCUGUAAACUUAAUGGGUGAGCCGUUGAGGUCGGUAGCGGUACCCACUGAGAACUACUUCUUUUUGCAGUAGUUCUCACACCCAAUUGUUGACCCCUUUUUGCAGAGCCUUCGUCCGCGGCUGCUGCUGUUGCUGUUUUGGAUCGUGGAAAGGGAGUCGCGAACUAGAUCCCUUCCAGUUUUGUUGCCGUGCUAGAGGUACCACCCACAGGUAGUUUUUGGGGUAUUUAUGUACAUAUUGUUGUUGUCUGGGUACUCGCUGGAGCGAGUGGUGUAGUAGACAUGUUGUAUGUAUAGGAACCCCCUGAGGUUUUAUUUAUAUAUAUUAGUUUAGUUUACUAACUCUUUACCUUAUGGUUGUAGCUUAAAAUUGUUAAUAGGUACAGCUAUCGCUUCGUUUACAGAAGAAAUUCCUAUGUAUACGGCGGGCCUAUUGGCGCGCCCGAGAAACGUGUAAUCCGGGGGCGUGACACGAUCAUUUAUUUUUAGGACGUCGUUCGAAUUUGACCGUUCACUUUAUACCUGCUUGAUGGACUUUAUUAUGAUUUCAAAAAAUUACAUAUUUAACGGAGUGGAUCGUAGAUCGUCAAUUCGAAAGCUCCAUCAUCGAAGACAACUUAUGAGUACGAAGGGCUUUAUACUCAUAAAAGUAUAGUAGUCUUACUCUAUGUGUGUGUAUAUAUAUAUAUAUAUAUAUAUAUAGAGUUCUUAAUCUAUGUGUGUGUUUAUAUAUAUAUAUAUAUAUAUAUAUAUAUUAUAUAUAAUAAUUAUAUAUGUAUCUGGUAUAUAUAAUUUUAUGUAUAUUAUAUAUACUAUACAUUAUAUAUAUUAAAUAUAUAUAUAUGUAUAUGUAAUAUUAUACUAUUAUAUAUAUAUUAUAUUAUAUAUUAUUAUGUAUAUGUCUUAUAUAUGUAUAUGUAUAUGUAUAUAUUAUGUAUUAUAUAUAUUGUAUAUGUAUAUAUAUGAUAUACAAUUAUAUAUGUAUAUGUAUGAUAUAUGUCUUAUUAUAUGAUAUUGUAUUAUAUGUAUAAUAUAUAAUACAUAUAUAUUGUAUGUUAUAUAUAUAUAUGUUUAUGCUAUAUAUACAUUAUUACAGUUAACGUAUAUACUAUUUAUAUAUUAUUAUAUGUAUAUUAUAUAUAUAUUAUGUAUUAUAUAUAUAUAUUAUCUGUCUUAUAUAUAUUAUAUUGUUAUUAUAUAUAGUAUAUCUAUACAUUCAUAAGUAUUGCUAUGAUAAUUAUAUUAUGUAUGUUAUAUAUAUUAUGUAUGUAUAAUUAUAUAUAUGUUAUGUAUAUUUAUAUUGUAUGUAUAGUAUAUAUGUUUAUAUAUUAUUAUUAUAAUAUAUAUAUAUAAUAUAUAAUAUAUGUAUAUAGUGAGUUAUAAUGUUAUAUUAUCAUACACGUAUUUAUGACUUAUAUAUUUAUUAUAUGAUUGUAUAUUAUAUAUAUAUUUAUGAGUAGGGCUUAGAAUACUUGUAAGUAUAGGGGUGAUAUUGUGAUGAUUUUUACCUUGGAUGGAGAGAUGUGAGGGUAUGAGUGAUGGUGGUUAGGUGGGUGUGUAGGUGGUGGUUUGGCUGGAAUAGUUGUUUAAUCCAAGGGUAUUAUAAUCAAAAAGUAGAUCUAAUGGCUUUAAAACUAUAGCCAUGAUGGUAUAUUGUAGUAUUAUGCUAACUCUUAUAUAUAUUAUAUAUAUAUAUAUUAUAUGAUAUAGUUGUAUAUAUUAUAUGGUUGUAUAUAUCCAUAAUAUUACUAUAUAGUAUAAUAAUAUAUAUAUAUGUAUAAUUAUACAUACAUAUAUAUAUAUCAUAUAUAUAUUAAAUAUUUAUAUAUGUUAUGUAUUAUAUAUUAUCCUAUUUAUAUAUGUAUACUUUAUAUAUGUUAUAUAUAUAUUACAUAUAUAUAUAUCCUACAAUAUAUUAUAUGUUGGUAUAUAUAUAUAUUUGUAUAUGUAUUAUAUGUAUUAUAUAUAUAUGUAUAUAUAUUGAUGAUGUUUUAUGUUAAUUUUUAUGAUAUAUAUGAAUAUAUAUAUUAUUAUAUAGAGUUGGAGCUAGAAUACUUGUAAGUAUCACUCAAGUAGUAUUGUGUGUUUUGUAGCCUUGGUAUGGAUGAGAUGUGAGUUGAGUGAUGAGGUGUAGGGUGGUGGUGUAGGUGGAAUAGUGUUGAUACAGGACUUUAGUAAUCAAGUAGAUCAAUGGGCCUAAACCAAGUCUCACUUUGGGUGAUACUUGUAAAGUUUUCUAGCCUACUUAUUUUUUAUAUGUUAUGUAUAUUUGUAUAUGUUAUAUGUAUAUUUAUUGUAUAUGUAUAUGUAUAUAUAUGUAUAUGUUAUGUAUUUAUGUAUAUAUGUAUAUUAUAUACAUAUAUUAAAUAUACAUAUAUCUAUAUAUUAAUGAUUACCUAUAUAUCUAUUAUUAUUGUAUAUUGUUAUGAUAUAUACAUGUAUGUGUUUAUAAUGUGCUUAUGUAUAUUACAUGUAUUUACAUGUAUAGAAUUUAGAUUGUUUUUUGCGAUUUUUUUUGCGUUUUUUUUUUUUGGGUGAAUACUUAUUAAUAGCACAGUUGAUUUUGGUUGAUAUUAAGUUUUCGGCCCUUUGGAUGUAAAAGAUGUGCGGAUUAUGAUAAUGUGGGCCCUAGGGUUAAUUAGUGGUGUGUUAGUUUGAUAGUUAUCGAACGGAUGAAACUGAUGCACAAUGUUGUGCUAGUCGAUAGUAUCCAGCUGGCUCUCUUCUUUUCUCUUCUCUCUCUCUUAUUAUUAUUAUAUAUAAAUUAUAUACUAUAUAGGAUGGCGGGUACUAUCUCUUAUUGAGUAAUUAGACACCUGUAUACUCAUAAGUUUUAACCGUUAAUUUAUGGGAGUGUGGUUCUAUGGCUUGAUGGUGGUCCCCCAUGUCAAUAUAUGGUUCCCCCUAGGGUUGAGUGGGUGUUGGUGAAUAGUAUUAAUUAAUGGAGUGGAAUGAUUCAAUGAAUAAUCUAGGGCCGAAAUUAUGCUUUAGGAGCAGUACUAUUAAAGUACAUGUAGCAGACUCUAUACAUAUUAUGUAUGUAUUAUACAUGCUAUAUAUACAGUAUAUAUAGAGUCCGGAUACUAUUCUUAUAAUAAGGAUUGGACCUUGUCCUAUAGUCGUUUUUGCAUGAUCGGACUUCAAUUUGCUAAUCAGCACGGUUGAAUGAUCUAAUAAUAGAAAUGUUUAGAAACCAAGUUUGUAAGUAUUUAAAUUCACUUUUAUCAAGUUUUAUCUAGAGAUUAAUGAGGGUCAUAAUAUGAUAUCUCUCUUAAUAGCGGUUAGACUUUUCUCAUCAUAAUCAGAGUUAUCAAUUAUCUAAUUAUUUAAAGAAUUUCUAUAAAAUCAAGCAUUUGGAGUUGAUCUUACAACGCUUUAAACAAGAAAUGCUCAUACUAGCGUUCAUAAAAUUGAUAGAUUUGCGACACUUAUAUACUAUGUAAAUAAUUUUUACAAUUUUUAUGAAUUUAGUUUUAAUAUGCAAAUAUUCUGGAUCAACUUCAAAAUGGCUUCGAUCAUCGAUUCGGAAAUUCUCUUCUAUCAAGAUAAUUUGAUAGGGCAUGUUCUCAGUCUAUUAUGUGCUGCUCGCAUUAUAUUUAUACUGUAUAUAUCAUUUAUAAUUAUUAUAUAAUAUUUAUUAUAUUAUCUAAUUAUAUCAAUAUACUUAUAUAUACUUCUAUUAUAUAGAGUUGAGUUGAUUGAUAUGCCUCCAAAUCGACGAUCGGCACCGUUGUAAAUAAUUUAUUUGGUGCUAUUAAUAGAAAAUUUGGUGCUAUUAAGAAAGUAACUUUAAAUUAAAAAGUAUACUUACCUUUUUAAUUUUUUUUAAACAAAAAAUAAUUUUCUUUUUUGUUGAAAUUAAUCUCACUAUCAUAUACAUAAAAUGAUAAAAUUUUAAAAAUUAUUUUUCAACUGUAUAUAACCAAAUAAAUUAUUUAUAGUUGCAUCUGUUGUAUUUUCAACUGCACGUAUCUCCAAGUAUACUAUAUUUAUAAUUAUAUCUGGCCAUGGCUACUAUACUAUUAUGAGUAUUGAAGUCCUCGUACUCAUAAGUUAUUUUCAAUAAUGGAGCUUCCGAAUCGACGAUCCACUCCGUUAAAUAUGAUCUAGAGUAUUUGAAACUUCUAGAAAAUAAAUUUCGUAAAUUUUCGAAAUCAUAAUAAAGUCCAUCAAGUGGGCAUAAAAUGAACGGUUAAAAUCGAACGACGUUCUAAAAAACGACGAUUGGAUCCUUGAAUUCAAGAUGGGAGUUAUUGAUCUUUAUCUAUGUGUGACACCCCAAUAGUCCCACAUCGGAUGGGAAUGGGGUUGUCAUUGGGUUUAUAAGAGACUUAGACACUAGUAAUAAUAACUGGGCUUAAGCAUUUUGGGCUGUUGGUUUGGGCCCAACGAGUUAUUGUUGCUAGUGGGCUGGGUCGUUACANUAGGAUGGGGCUACUAUACUCUUAUGAGUAUAGACCCCCUUAUACUCAUAAGCUUUUAACCGUUAAUUAAUGGGAUGUGUGGUUAGGAUGAUGGUGGUCCCCACUUACAAUAAUAGUGGUCCCCUAGGGUUGAGUGGGUAGUUGGUUGAAUAGUAUAAUCUAAUGGGUGGAAAUGAUCAAUGGAAUAAAUCUAAGGGCCGAAAACUUAUGACUAUAAGGAAGCCAAUACUCAUUAAAGUACAGUAGCCAGACUCUAUACAUAUAUAUGUAUGUAUAUAUACAUGUAUAUAUACAUAUAUAUAGAGUCCGGCUACUAUCCUAUUAAUAAGAUUGGGACCAUUGUCCUAUCAAGUCGUUUUGCAUGAUCGGAACUUCAAAUUGAUAAUCAGCACCGUUGAAAUUGAUCUACAUAAUUAGAAAUGUUUAGAAACCAAAUUUUGUAAUAUUUAAAAAUCAUUAUCAAGUUUAUCUUAAGAGUUCAAAAAUGAAGGGUCAUAAAUGAAUAUCCUUCUUAAAAUAGCGGUUAGACUUUCUCAAUUCAUAAUCAGAGUUAUCAAACAUUAUCUAAAUAGUAUAAAGAAUUUUCUAUCAAAAAUUCAAGCAAUUUGGAGUGCUCUACACCGUUAAACAAGCAAAUGGCUCAUAUAGGCCGUCAAAAAUUAUCGAUUUUACGACACUUUGAUCACUAUGUAAAUAAUUUUUAAAAUUUAUGAAAUUUAGUUUCUAGAUAUUUCAAAUACUCUAGAUCAACUUCAACGGCUUCGAUCAUCGAUUCGGAAUCUCUAUCAUCAAGAAUAAUUUGAUAGGACAAGUGCUCCAGUCCUAUUAAUAGGAUAGGAGCCAUUGUCCUAUCAAGUCGUUUUGAAUGAUCGGAACUUCAAAUUGAUAAUCAGCACCGUUGAAAUUGAUCUACAUAAUUAGAAAUGUUUAGAAACCAAAUUUUGUAAUAUUUAAAAAUCAUUAUCAAGUUUAUCUUAAGAGUUCAAAAAUGAAGGGUCAUAAAUGAAUAUCCUUCUUAAAAUAGCGGUUAGACUUUCUCAAUUCAUAAUCAGAGUUAUCAAACAUUAUCUAAAUAGUAUAAAGAAUUUUCUAUCAAAAAUUCAAGCAAUUUGGAGUGCUCUACACCGUUAAACAAGCAAAUGGCUCAUAUAGGCCGUCAAAAAUUAUCGAUUUUACGACACUUUGAUCACUAUGUAAAUAAUUUUUAAAAUUUAUGAAAUUUAGUUUCUACAUAUUUCAAAUACUCUAGAUCAACUUCAACGGCUUCGAUCAUCGAUUCGGAAUCUCUAUCAUCAAGAAUAAUUUGAUAGGACAAGUGCUCCAGUCCUAUUAAUAGGAUAGUAGCCCUAGCCCAUAUAUAUAUAUAUAGAUCGGCUGGGAUACUAUCGAUAGCACCAAGCAUUUGGUGCUANNNNNNNNNNNNNNNNNNNNNNNNGAAUGGGGUUGUCAUUGGGUUUAUAAGAGACUUAGACACUAGUAAUAAUAACUGGGCUUAAGCAUUUUGGGCUGUUGGUUUGGGCCCAACGAGUUAUUGUUGCUAGUGGGCUGGGUCGUUACACUAUGUAGUGAAUAGAAUUUUCUAUUAAAAAUUCAACAAAUUCUGAUUCUUUUACACCGUUAAACUAGCAAAUAUCUCAUACCGGCCGUUAAAAAUUGUCAAAUUUGUGACCUCUUGAUCGUAAGGUAAAUGAUGUCGAAAAAUUAUAAAAUUUGAUUUCUAGAAGUUUUAAAUGCUGUAAAUAACGUUUAACGGUGUGGAUCGUCGAUUCGGAAGCUCUAUCAUCGAAAACAACUUAUGAGUACGAGGGCGAUCGUACUCAUAAUAGUAUAGUAGCCGGACCCAUUAUAUCUAAUCAAACGGCUCCUUAGAGUAGGAAAUUGAAUUACCUGCAAAUAGUGGAGGCCAUAGUCGCGCCCGUCUAUUGCAAGAUCUAGAGGUGUUUUACCAUCCUUGUUCACAAUGUUUGGGCGAACGCUCAUGUUUUCCAACAGAAGACUCACUAUAGUUUGGUUAUUGGAUUUUACGGCAAGAUGUAAUGGCGUAUUCCCUUCACAAUCCCUUGCAUUCGUUAUUCUCACAAAUAAUGGAUGCUUACAGAUGAACCGAACUAUCUUCGCUCUUUUGUGCUGUGUAGCAACAUGUAGGAAAUUCCUUCCUCUACCAUCCACUAACUCGCCCAUAUCAGGGCAAUGGUGAAUAAGCUCACGAAUUAUAGGGAGUCUUCCCAUCCUAGCAGCAACAUGUAUAGGGCAUAAUCCUUUAGAGUCUGAGAAGUAAGCCGGAGAAGUGUCAUGUAUUAAUAGUUGGCGCAUCAUACGUCGGUUAAAAGUUGUUGCUAAAUAGUGAAGGGGAGUGCUCCCUGAGCUAUCAACUUUCUUUGUAAGCUCUGGCUUCCAGUAGAAUAAUUCUUUUGCAAUCUCUGUUAUGGAAAUUCACAUUAACAAUAAAGGGCCAAAAGAUUUUAAAAAAACUUAAAUCUGAAGAGAAACAAAAGAUAUAUAAAGAGUCAUUUUCACAUGCAAGAUAUUUUUCAAUAUAUUGUCGAGCUCAAAAUGAUGUCGAAAAAUUAUAAAACUUGGAGCAUAGCGACAUCACAUACGCCAAAUCAAGUUUACCAAAAACAAAGUGGACGCACGAACGAAAAUGCCCUUAGAUUUCCAAAGUAGACUUAAAUUAGCUAAUAAAUUUUCAUUCAAUGUUAUCUUUCACUUCACUAAUUCUUUCACUUAUCAAUUUAACCUUUUAAAUUAAUUUAUAUUUAACAGAUAAAUCAAACUAAAUAGUGCUACGAGCGAUUUCUUUAACCGCCAACUCGAUCAAAACCCGCCUUCGGGAAGCGUGUGAGGAGGCGGAGUGGCUACGAAUGAUAACCCUCGAAACUUGCGCUCACCGUUGAAUCAAACGAUUCGGCUGAUGAGGGAUCGGACCAGCCGAGUUCAAUCCCACACAGUAAUUUCAGUUCGACUGGAUUAGUCGAGUCAAGAAAAUAACACAGGCCUUUCUGUUCGGCUGAAGAGCCGAAAAGUUUUUAUAUUGCUCAAAACUUAGGAAAAUGUUUACAAAAUGAGGCGUGCGCCACUAUGGCGUACAGUCACGAAAGAGAAUUUAUUCUACAAACUACUAGAAAAGACAGUAAAUGUAGGAAAAAUAAAAAAAUUACAAGUAAACUAUUCCUAGAAAGCAAUAAAAUGCUGAAAUUAGAAGUAUUAAAAAUGCAGUGGUCUUCUCGUUCGCAGAAAAAAAAGACUCCUCUACCAGACAUCCUCUAUUUAUUUAUAGCUCCGCCUAUUGGUUAUUCAAUUAUUUUUCACCAUCGGCCACAUUUCUGUUUCUGUAGAUCAGUUUUGGUCGAGAAACUAAGUCGGCUAUAACCACUCUUUAGUUUUAGAUACAUCUUUUCUCAAUUCCUGUCACACCAUAUGUGGUCUAAUUGUUGGCUUUAGGGAUCGCUCUCACAUAGCAAUAUAUUUCGAAGGACAUUUAAAUUAACGAAACUAGUACAACUUUCCGAAGCAAUAUAUACACCAAAAAAUUAUCCCAAUUGUGAACUAACAUGAUUGAUAUCAAUAGAUAUAAUAAAAGAGGAACUUUACUGUGGCCACGUGUCGGCCUCUCAGCGUCCCCCCUCCCUUUCGAGCCCUUCGCGAGCGCGCGAGGAACGGGCAGGCUCUCUCUCUUUCUCUCUUCCUCUCUCCCUCUCUCUCUCUCUCUCUCUCUCUCUCUCUCUCUCUCUUGGGCCCGCGCGAGAGGGGCGCAUGUCGCGCACAAGCCAGCCCCCCCAGCUCUCUCUCUCUCUCUCUCUCUCUCUUCCCCUUUCUCCUCUCCCACCCCGGUUCCCUCCCCUCUUUCGCUCUCUUUCUCUCUUUCUCUCUCUCCCCCUCUCUCUCCCAGGCUUUCCCUCUUUCUCUCUCUUCUCAGUGUUGCGCGCGCGCGUGAGGCGCGGGUAGCUCACAUAGGGGCCCUCCCCCCCGGCUUCUCUCUCUCUCUUCCCUCUCUCCCUUCUCCCCACCCCCGUCCCCCCUCUCUCUCUUUUUCUCUCCCGCGAGCUGUGCGUGCGCGUGGUCGCCCGCACAUGGUAGGGCGCGCCCUGGCUCUCUCUCUUCUCUCUCUUCUCUCUCCACAUCUCUCCCUCUCCCCACCCUCGGCUUCUCUCCCUCUCCUUCUUUUUCCUCCUCUCCCCUCGGCUCUCUCUUCUUCUCCUCUCUCUUUUCCCUCUUUUUCCUCUCCCUCCCCCGGCUCUCUAUCUCUAUCCUUCUCUUUCCCCUAUUCCUACUUCCCCGACUCUCUCUCUUUCUCUCUGACCGACCGCGCCGCGAGCAAGCGGCGUGACGGGCGCCGGCGCGGCCUCCUGCACACGUGGGCAGCGGGAGGCGGAUGCGAGAAGGCGCGUACGCGAGUGGCACGGCGGUGCGCGGCGCGCAGGGUGGCGCGAGCGGGCACGGCGGGCGAGCCGCGCGGGACUCGAUCCGCGCGGGGUUUUUUUUUUUCCCUGCUUUUUUCCGGCGGACCAUUGCUAUCUCUCUCUCUUUUUUGAAUUCUUUUUUAUUUUCUAAGCCUUCUUAUUUUAUGAGUGUUAUUGACCUCAUACAAAAAUAAAUUUAAUUUUAAUUUAAAAUUAAAUUUAUUAUUAAUGAUUUUGAAUGUAUUGUUUAACUUUAUAUAUUUAGUUAGUAUAUUUUACGUAAUUAUUGUAAUUAAAUAUAUUUUAAAGAAAAACUUAAUUGUAGUGUUUUUUAUAAAAAUGGAUUACCUUUUUACAUUUUAGAUUUUAGUCUUCAAAAUUUGAUUGCAUUGUUUAUCUUCAUAAAUUUAAUUAAUAUGCUUUAUAUAAUUUUCGUAACUAAAUUUAUUAAAAUAAGUAUUACUUUAAACUUCAUCAAACUCUCUUUUUACUUUUAAAUGUAUUUCUAUUUAAUAUAUAUAAUCUAAAUUAUUUAAAAAUUUGAUUGGAUUAGAAAAAAUCAAAUUCUCUCGGCACAAAUUAUUAAAGAGAAAAUAAUUAAAAUAAAGUAACUGCAGUCAGCCUGUCCUCCAUUUUUAGCUGGGCUUAUUUGAUAGCAAUUACAUUUGCAGUGGCCAACAUACCAUAUCUUCUUGAUAGCAACAAUGAUGCCGAAGGCAAUGUAAUUGCUGAAAUCUUCUACCUCAUAUUCAAGAAAAGAUAUGGAAGUGGAGCUGGAGGGAUAGUCUGCUUGGGAGUGGUGGCAGUUGCCAUAUUCUUUUGUGGUGUCAUCAUAGUCACAAGCAAUUCCAGAUAGAAGUAGCUUUUCCUUAAAUAAAACGUAAUUAGAGAUACAUGCAGUUUAAAAUUUUAGUAAUUUUAUUUGCACAUAAUCUGUUGGGUAACCCAUUCAGUUGGGGCCCAUACCUACCCCACCCCACCCCACCCCACCGCCUCCCACCUCUUCUCUGCCUUCCACUCUCUUUCUUCGCCACGUGGCAUUGAUGACUGAGAUCAACAUUGUUCUUUGAAUAAGCCAAAUGACUGAUUCUUUUGUCUGUAGGAAUGUGUUGCGAAUUUUUGUAGUAUAUUAGUCAUUUGCCACCUUAGUCAUCUUUUCCUUCUAAUUUAUGAUAACCAAUUAUCUACUUAACUCCUAGGUGUAGGCUAAUAUCUAUAAAUAAAUAUGUAAGUUUGUUUUUAUUUGUUUAAUUAUUGGUGCUCAUUUUUAUGUUAAAAACUACGAUUCUUGUUGGUAACUUACUAUAGAGUAUAUAUAUACUUGAAUUUAGAUAUAUUUUAAUUGGUUUAUAUGCAGGCCGUAUUGAUGAUUCCCCUGUCAUGCUUGCCCAACCUCAAAUUUUUAUGAAUGCAAGUGGUGAGUCUGUAAGUAGAUGCCUCUAACCUAUCCAAAUUAUGUACAACUAUCUGAAGCAAUUCUUAUUAUAGUUCUAUUCCAGUUUUAUGAUGCAAAUUAGGGCUUCUUCAUGUAGGUUGGUUCGCUGGUUUCAUAUUACAAGAUACCACUGAAUUAAGUACUUCUGGUAUAGCUAUUGAUUGUUGUUAUGCAACUAUUGAUAUUUAGUUCUUACUAUUAGUUUUUGCUGGGUUUUUUGUUUUGUUACUUUGCAGAUGUAUGAUGACUUGGAUUUACCUUUUGCAAAAUUGCGGCAACUAUAAAAUGUCAAAACUUAAAAUUUAAAUUUUAACAUUUAAAAUUGAAAUUUCAACAUUUAAAAUUUAAUAUUUGAAUUUUUUCAAUUCAAUUUAUAAUUUAAUAUUUAAAAUAUUGAAUGUUGAAAUUUAAAAUUUAAAACUUAAAAUUUAAAAUGGUAUAUUUUUCCUUAAUUACUAAAACUAAUUUUAAAAUUUUUUUGUUUUAAGUUUUAAAUUUUAAAUUUUAGUUUCUAAAUUGUAGAUUUUAAAUUUUAUAUUCAAAUUAUAAAGUUUAAAAUUUUAAAGAUUAUAUAUAUUAAUUUACUGAAAUAUAUCAUGAAAUUUCAAAUUACCUAUCUGAAUUCCUAAAAAUUCAAAAUUACAGCAAGUUAUUUGAUGCACAUUAAUGUUUAGAAUUAGAAAAAUUUGGAAUCAAUAAAACUCUAUAUAAAAUCAUAUAUUCAAAAUAUAUAAACUGAAUUAAGAUAAAAUGUAUUUUUUAAAAUUCAAAUUUUCAAAUUGUUAGUUUCAAGUUUCAGGAUUUAAACAAAAGAGAGUUAGAAAUUUUAAAUUUUAAAUAAAUUACAUAAAUUUUCUGGCGUGAAGCGCGGGCCUACACUAGUAUAUAAUAAUGAAUUUAUCAAUAGAUAUACAAAUAUUCUUUUAUUUUAAUAAGAAUGAAAUAUGUUUUAUGCUUUUUUAGAUUCCGCGGGCCGGUCAAAACCUUUUUAAAAGGCCUAUAUGGUUAUAUAUGUACGUAGUAUAAUUAUAGAUAUAAUAUAGGACUAGUCUAGUAUGCGUUACAUUCAAACCCUUUCACUGUAUCACAUGACGUCCGUGUAACUUCAAAGCUAAAUCUGGUAUCUAGCCUAAUUAAAUUUCUGCUAUUGAGCUAACAAUCCUAAUUUAAUUAGAUUUUAUCUUUGCAUCAGAUAACUUCAUAUUUAAUUAGUCCAAUUCUAACAAAAUAUGUAUUAAAAAAAAAUAAUAAUGCAUGAGUUGCUGGUCGAUUACCCGGGCUUUGGAUGAUGGCGGCUGCAUGCAGUGCAGUUUGCCCGUUCGGUCCGCCAUAGGAUGCCUCUGGCGUGUCCCCUCCGUCAGCAUGGGACCCUAUCAGGACCUGAACAACUUCGAGCGAUUCCGACAGCACGGCAGCAUAAAGCGGAGAUACACCAUUAUGGUCGUCUAUAGCCGCCAGCCCGGGAUCCGCAGACAUCAAAACUUCGGCCACCCACGCAUCGCCUUCUUCGGCCGCCACAUGUAAUGCAGUCUUCCCUUCCCGAUCUGUGGCGCGCAGCACCGCCUCCAACCAGCUCCUGUCCUCCUGCCGCCUUGCUAUGGAAAUGAAGAGGGACACGAUCUGGUCUGCCCCAGCCCUCGCAGCGCAGUGCAGCGGCGUCUCGCCGGCCACAUUGCGCGCCCUCAAGAGGGAGCUGUCUCUUGCGCAGAUCAGCGCCGCGAGCUCCAAGUGCCCAAAAUCAGCCGCGAUAUGGAGGGCCGAGUUUCCGCCUACGGUAACUCCCCCCCAUCUCCUGCGCCCUGCUUGACGAGCGACAUUAUGAAGAUCAAUGGCCAUAGAUACCUCUUGCGAGAAGAAUCUUUCGACGGUGCUCUCGUCCCCUCUCUGCAAUGCCUUGAUCAGCCCAUAGUCCAAACGUUGUCGUUCGCCGGUCUCCCCACCAGCAACUGCGGCAGCCAUUUAAGCUGAAACGGAAACAAACAAACUGAUGAGUUAACAUGCAAGUGCCUGUAAUUAAGGAAAUGUUAGCUAUAUACACAUUAAUUUCAAAAGGAUUUUAUAGAUCUUACAUUCCCAUGCAUCCUAGAGUUUACAAAUCCUUUUAGAGUUUUAAAUAUUAUAAAAAAUAUAUAUAUAUAUGGACAAGAUAAAGAUGUGAUAAUGGCCCUUGCAUGAAGAGAUAUAUAGGAUUGACACUACUGAGAAAUAAACAAAAGAAAAGAAGAAAAAAUUGCUUCUAUACCGUUUGUAUAAAAGAGGAAAGUUUCUCUUUCUUGCUUGUAAUUUUUUGAAUGAUAGUUAAUGCCUUCUGCCCAGUACCAGCUUUAUAUAGGUGGAAGACGAAGAUGAUCGACUUUCUAAAAUAAGUUUCCAAACAUGUAAUACUAGCUUCUCUAGCACACGAACACAUUGAAACAUGAAGAAGCAAACUUCAUUCCAAACUUGCUAGGUACGUAGGUUUUAUUCAGAAGUCAGAAUAAGUUAUUCAAAUAUAACUUAUUCGCGCGGUACAAAAAUUUUCUAGUAUGACCGUAAGAAAGAAGUUUGACACUUUUACUCAAAAGAUCUUGAUAUUCAUGAUUGGAUACGCUAUCAUAUUUCAUUUACGAGAUAAUUUAUUUUAUUCGAAAAAAAUAGCUAGAAGAUUGAAUAUAGCAAUCUAAUUUUAGACAUUUGAUCACAUUCCUCAUUUACCAAUAUGUACUACAAGCUUUUCAAGUAGAUUGUACAGAUAUAUCGAAGAAGGUGCUUUUCUUCAUUAAUCUACAUUCCAUGGAAGUAGUGUUUUUUA
RNAcentral lists this long non-coding RNA (66801 nucleotides) under Ananas comosus (pineapple). Its description in RNAcentral is "long non-coding RNA (ACOM_LNC031144)". The record is from RNAcentral. Lineage: Eukaryota; Viridiplantae; Streptophyta; Magnoliopsida; Poales; Bromeliaceae.